This 59071-nucleotide long non-coding RNA is filed under the name Capsicum annuum. RNAcentral's name for it is "long non-coding RNA (CANN_LNC016443)". The record is from RNAcentral. Lineage: Eukaryota; Viridiplantae; Streptophyta; Magnoliopsida; Solanales; Solanaceae.
UUUUUUUUUUUUUGUAUUUGAGGCAAUGAACAUCAUCUAUGUAUAUGACUAAUAUAUACAUAAGUUCUGAUAUGUUGUUAGAUGUGUAAUAAAAUGCCUAGUUGAUAUACAUCAUUUUUUUAUGUAUUGAUCAUAUGUGAGCUUAGUUGUUAGAUGUUGUUAGGUGUGUAAUGAAAUGCUAUUUGAUAUGUACUGUAUAUGUUUUGACCAUAUAGCCUCACAUAUAAUGUCUUUUUUAUUUUCAAUAGGGUCUGAAAUAUAGGAUAAAAAAUGUCCCUGCGCAUUCGUUGCAUUUCAAUAGUUAUUGAAAUCGAGAGUUUGGAUCACAUAUAAAUAAUUAUCUUGGUGAAGAAGUUCAAAAUCUUUUUCGUCAAAUAAUUUUUGGUUCCUUUCUAGACAUGCCUCAGUGUAACUUUCAGGGUCACAUUUUCAAAUGCUUACUUAUGCUUGAUGUAGAGCAAGAUAAUCCGGACGAAAUUCACAUUUACCUAAGAAAACUAUUCUCAAAUUUUCUAUUACUGAGUUUGCUAUAAUAUUCAGACUUAAAUGUAAAGGGAACAUCGAGGAUUACCUUUAUACCGAAUCAUCUAAACCCGUAUUAAUAGCGAAGAAUUUUUCAGACACAAAAAAAUCUGUCAAAAAAAUUAUUUUUGUACAGCGAUUCAAGUUGGGAAACUUUGACAACAAUACCGAUGCUUUGAAUAUGUCCAUACUUUACUUUAUUCAUACUUUUGUAUAUUCAAAAAUACGUGGUGUUAGUAUUAGCAGAUCGGAUUAUGUGAUGCUUGAAGAUGGAAGGUAGAAACAAUUUUAAUGGGGGAAGACUUCGUUUCAAAAGCUUAUUGCAAUGCAAAGACGGGAUUUCUUUGUUGAAAAACAGUAAUACUAGAUUGGGGGAAUGCCUCAUGUGCUGAAUGUUUAGAUGUAUGAAUGUUUUUCUGAGGUAGACAACAUGAUAGUUGAGCGUGUAAAAAAUAUAAUUCCAAGAACUUUUAACUGAAAGAUUGUUAGGAUUAAGGUCAAGUACGAGAAGUUCAUGAGUGAUAUGUUCAACAAGGUAAGUGUUUAGUACAUUAUUUCAAGUUAAUGUUCGUAUUUCACUCUGUUGACUUUAAUAGACUCUUAAUGUCAUCAUUUUUAUUGCUUAACAGUUUGUAUACAACAAUUUACAAUCAACUCGUGAAGAAGUGCAAAGACUUGAUUUGCUAAUAAGGGCAUUGAAUUGAAUGAUGUUGAAUCUUCAUUCUCACAUGAUACUUUUUUCGAUCGUAGUGGUAAAAGGCUUGUUGUUGACAUAUAUACACAUUCGAACUCCGACCUACAAGGUUAUGAGGAUUUCAAACAGUCCCACCACAAUUCUUAAAAAGAUAGGUCUGAGAACCAAUGAAUCAGCAUCACAAUCUACGAAGAGGAGGAGGACAGUUCGUUUUGAUGUUAAAACUGUCGAGAUGCAAGAUCGUGAGGAAACGCCAUCGACUGUUUCAAGAAAACAUAUGCCAAAAGAUAAAACACCAACUACUGUUUCAGAACGUGUUGAUGCAACAAAGACAACUCCAUCAUUAUCCAGCAAGUCUGUUCAUCAUGCUACUUCUGAUGAAAAGUGGGACGAGAUAAACUCGUUUUUACAGUCCUGUGUAAAUUUCUCUUAUGAUCAAUAGUAUAAAUUAAAUUAUGAAAACACUGAUGUUUCUUGUCUUUGUAUCUGCAGGUUGACAAAAAAUUCAACGUUCUUCACGAUCUAAUGAUUAAAUAACAUGAAGACUCAAACAACAAAAUGGAUAAACAACAUGUCGAACUCAUGCACAUGUUGAAACACAACAAACACACCGAUGAAAAGGUAAACUAAAUUGAAUUUACGUUAUAUAAUUAACGAAUUUGUUUAUAUUUGUAUUUUUUUCAUUUGUCUGAUUUAUAUUGUAUUUUGAAAAAAUUAUUGUAUAAGGUUCAUACACAUCAUAAAUUGUUAUAUGUAUUUUGAUUAUAAUUUCAUUUACAAUGGCUCACAUAUAUAUACUACUUCAAUAUACAAGCACUGAUUUGUGUAUAAUAGCACAUCAUUUGUAUAUUAUUAAUACAUGUAAACUGUGUUAUGUAUAUUAGAUAAUAUACAUAACUGUGUUAAUAUGCAUAUGAGAUGUCUUAUUUUAUUUUAUGUAUAUUAUAUAGCAUACAUAUGUAACAAAUAUAUAUUAGAUAAUAUAUAUAUUUGUUACAUAUGUAUAUUAGAUAGUAUAUAUAUUUGUUACAUAUGUAUGUUAUAUAAUAUACAUAAAAUAAAAUAAGAUAUUUCAUAUGCAUAUUAUCUAAACUUUUUUAGAUGUAAAGAAUGUUUUUGUUUUUAAAUUAUGAUGGUGAAGAAGCAAAUAUUUGGGCAGAAAAAGAAACAUUCAAUGUAAGUUCACGGUAGAAGCAUUUUAAGGUUAUUUAUGUCUAUUUCUUAGUUUAAAUCAAUAUUUUAAAAUUUAUUCUUACAUAAUUUUAUAACAAAAUCCACAAGAUCAUUAUGUGGAAGGUUCAAGAACGGAAGAUGUACCAUCACAAGAGCAGGUUGAUGAGAUGGAUAUUUUUCAAUAGUGAAAGACAAAAAAAGGGCUACUUUUUUUUAUAAAUAUGCCUUUUUGUUAUCCUACAUUGAUGUUAUGAAAAUUAUUAAUACACAUAUAUAAUACUAAUUUUAUUAGAAUGAUGAAAUGGGAGGUUUUAAAACAGGUGAUGCAUCAUCACAAAACAAUGUCGAAGAGAUAGCUAUUGCCACAAGCUUGAAAGACAAAGGAAAAAAGAUAUUUUUUCUUAAAUAAUUGCUUUACACAAAUUGUUUCAUAUAUGAAUUCAUCUUAACUUUUUUUUUUACUUUUAAAAAUUUAUGAUAUAUUUUUAGCUUAGUUUGUUGUGGAUUUUAACUGAUACCCCUGGUAGUUAUAUCAAUGUAUAUGUGAUAUGUAUAAGAUUAUAAUAUACAUAGUUCAUCAAAACGAGAAACCAUAUAAUACUCAUUUUAAACUUUUAAGUUGUUGGCGAUACUGAUAAAUACUUAGGCAAAGUGUUUGGUGACGAUAUAAUGGAGGAUGAUUUUUUUUUAUGGGAACAACAGUCUUAUACAAAAAUAAUUUGAGGUUAGAUAUCUCAGAUUUUAACUCUUAUAAUUAAAAUAAUAAACUGAUUUAGUUUUGUAUAUGUUAUAUCUACCAGAAUAUUGAAGGUUAUAGUGCGGAUAAUGAAAUUGUCACAUUAGAUGCUCUCAUAAAAGCUAUGGUAAAUCAAAAAUCGAAUUACACCAAAGUUGGAACAUCUGUUACAGUGAAUAUCCAUAAAAAAACAUCCGCUAAAUGUAUAAAGUACAAUAUACAUGUCAAAUAUUUUACACAUCACACUACUUUUACUAACGUGUUUAAACAAAACUAACACAUAAUAUUUACUAUUAGGAUGAUUACUCGAGUACAAUUUUAGAAUUUGCUCAAGACAAGUUAGACGCCAUAAUUGAAGGUCUGGCAGCACCGAUAGAUAAUUUUUCGCUAGAAGUUGUUAAACCGCAUUUCAUAUCUGAUAGUCAGAUUCCUCCAGAUUUUUCUGAUACAUCACAUCAAGCUGCAAAAACCCCUGCCAAGAGAACCAGGGCUAAAUCUAAAGUUUUCAAGUCACCAUAUCUGACAGAGUAUACUUUUGGUUCAAAUGCCAUUGAGAACGAAAUCAUAGAAUUGAUGCAGAAAUUCGCGUUUGAUUAUUUCAUAAUAUCUGACGACAUGUCGUGGCGUGUCAUUACAGAGUACAAGAAGUGGGUUGAAGAAGGUCUAUUGAAGUUUCAUGUAAAAAAGUAAGUUUUAUCAUUAUUAAAUUGAACAUUUUUUGUCAAUAUGUGUUUACAAUUUAUAUUUUUUUCUUACUAACAAAAUUUAACAUUUUAUAGAAAAAUGAAUGAUGACCACUACAGAAUAAAAGCAUCUGCUCUUGGAGUUCAAGAAUUUGAUUUUGUUGUUGCACAUGCAUGGUCAAAAAAUUGAUGUCUCAAACAAAUGCAUGCUAAAACGAUGAAAUAUUUUUAAUUUUAAAAAACUUUCAUAUUUACAUACAUAUACCUAAGUUCAUUCGACUUGCAUAUAGAAAAAUUUGUUAUGUUCUUUGUCACAGCACUGUUGAUUUAUGUAUGUGCAUCAAAUUUAUAUAUAUAUGUAUGACUGUUAUGUAUUCCUUACCAUUAUGUAUAUAAAUAUCUGAUUGAAAAAUUUAAGUAUGACCGGUUAUUGGCAGUUACUUAUGCAUACGCCCAAGUGCAAAGUACAAUAUUUCUAUCUAUUUGUUAUAUGUCCGUCUUAUUCUAUGUAUAUGCAUGCUUGUUGAUAUGUAUGUGCAAAUGCUAAAGAAUACCUACUUAUGUAUAUAACAGUUUGUUAUGUAUAUGCACUAUUAGUUUAUAAAUACUUCUGCCUGCAUGUUAUGUAUACUAACUACACAAUUACGUAGACUCUUUUUAACUCAUAUUACUUAGGGUAAACAUAUAAAUAUGUUCACAGUAUAAAUCGAUAUAAUGCCUCUUUUUUGUAGCACAUUGAUGUGAUAUUCUAUCACCUGCGCAAGAAAUUAAAGAUUGAUCAAGAAUAUAAAUGCACAACAAUUGUUUUUUCAAGAGCUAUAUUGAGAAGACGUACUGUAGAUAUUAUCCCGAUAUGGUACUUUCUACACAACAGGAUUAUGCUCAAUCUAUUUUUGUGGCCCAGAAUAAAGAGGCAAUAACAAACAUAAUCAAGGAAUUUUGCAUUCUAGCUGGGUUACCAUGGCACCUAGUUGAUGAGGUGUAUUUUCCUGUCAACUGCAAUGAAAAGUUUCACUGGAUAUUAGUUGUUAUUGCUCUAAAGGAUAGCCGCAUACGCGUCUAUGAUUUACUGUCCAAUCUAAGAAAUAUGGACUCAUCGUCCGAGAUUCACAAGUUGGCAGUGAUGCUGCCAACUUACUUGUCUGACGACGAAUUUUUUUGAAGAAAAGACACGUACAGAAUGUGCAAAUCUUGAUGCAUAUAGGGAUAAGAUGAGUUAAAGGACAUAGUUAGUGAAUCAACACCCAUUCAAGGUUGAGUAUAUGCAAAACAGUACUCAACAAGAAUGUGACAGCUUGUAAGUAAUCUAACUGUUAUUUAUGAUGUGUUGGACAAAAUAACGUGUUUAUUUUUUUGCAUGUCAGCUUGGAAGAAACAAACACGGUAUUUCUUCUAACACAGCAUAAAUAGUAGUUCAUAAAAAAAUAUAGAAGAUUACUUACAAAUUGUCACAUUCUUGUUGAGUAAUGUUUUGCACAUACUCAAUCUCAAAUGAGUGUUGAUUCAUUAACUGUGUCCUUUGACCCAUCUUAUUCCUAUAUGCAUCAAGAUUUGCCCAAUCUGCACGUGUUGUUUCUUUAAAAAAUCCACUGUCAGACAAGUAAGUUGACAGCAUCACUGCCAACUUGUGAAUCUCAGGCGAUGAGUCUAUAUUUCUUAGAUUAGACAGUGAGUCAUAGACGCGUAUGCGUCUAUCCUUUAGAGCAGUAACAACUAAUACCUAGUAAAACUUUUCAUUGCAGUUGACAAGAACAUACACCUCAGCAACUAGGUGCCAUGGUAACCUAGCUGGAAUGCAAAAUUCCUUGAUUAUGUUUGUUAGUGCCUCUUCAUUCUGGACCACAAUAACAGACUGAACAUAAUCCUGCUGUGUAGAAAGUACUGUAUCUGAAUCAUCAGGAUCAUAUCUUCGGUACGUCUUCUCAAUAUAGCUCUUGAAAAAGCAGUUUGUUGUUGUGAAUCUGUAUUCUUGGUCAAUCCUUAAUUUUAAUUUUGCACAGAUGAUAGAAUAUCACAUCAAUAUGCUACAAAGUUGAAAUACAAAGAAGAAGCAUUAUGUCGAUUUAUACUGUGAACAUAUUUAUAUGUUUACUCUAAGUAAUAUGAGUUAAAAAGAGUAUAUAUAAUUGUGGAGUUAGUAUACAUAACAUGCAGGCAGACGUAUUUAUAAACUGAUAGUGCAUAUACAUAACAGACUAUUAUAUACAUAAGUAGAUAUUCUUUAGCAUUUGCACAUACAUAUCAACAAGCAUGCAUAUACAUAGAAUAAGGCAGACAUAUUGCAAAUAGAUAGAAAUAUUUUACUUUGCACUCAGGCAUAUACAUAAGUAACUGCCAACAAUCGGCCACACAUUAACUUUUCAUCAGAUAUUUAUAUACAUAAUGAUAAGGAAAAUACAUAACAGGCAUACAUAUAUAUAAAUUUGAUGCGCAUACAUAAAUCAGCAGUGUACAACUGACUAUGGCAAAAAACAUAAUAAAUUUUUAUAUAUGUAAGUCGAAUGAACUUAGGUAUAUGUAUGUAAAUAUGAAAGUUCCAGCAUGCAUUUGUUUGAGACAUCAAGUAAAAUAAAUUUUUGACCGUGCAUGUGCAACAACAAAAUUGAAUUCUUGAACUCCAAGAGCAGAUGUUUUUGCUCUGUAGUAGUUAUCAUUUAUUUUUCUAUAAAAUAUUAAAUUUUGUUAGUAAGAAAAAAAUAUAAAUUGUAUACGCAUAUUAACAAAAAAUGUUAAAGUUUAAUAAUGAGCAAACUUACUUUUUUGCAUGAAACUUCAAUAGACCUUCCUCAACCCACUUCUUGUACUCUUCAAUGACAUGCCUUGACAUAUCAUCAGAUAUUAUGAAAUCAUCAAAUGCGAAUUUUUGUUUCAAUUUAGUGAUUUCGUCCUCAAUGACCUUUGAACCAGAAGCAUACUCUGUCAAGUAUGGUGACUUAAAAACUUUAGAUUUAAUCCUGGUCCUCCUGACAGGAAUUUUUGCAGCUUAAUGUGUCGCAACAACUGCAUCAGGAAAAUCUAGAGGAAUCUGACUAACAGAUAUGGAAUGCGGGCUAACUAUUCUUCUGACGGUUUAACAACUUCUAGAGGAAGAUCAUCCACCAGUGCUGCCAGACCUUCCAUUAUGGCGUCUAAGUCAGCUUGAGCAGAUUUUAAAAUUGUACUCAAGUAAUCAUCCUACUAGUAAAUAUUAUAUGUAUAGUGCUAGUUUUUUUUAAAUGCGUUAGUAAAAGUAGUGUGAUGUGUAAAAUAUUUGAAAUGUAUACUGAAAAAAUGCACUUUAUGUAUUUACUGGAUGCUCUUUAUGGAUAUUCACUGUAAUAGAUGUUUCAACCUUGGCGUAAUUCGAUUUCUGAUUUACCACAGCUUCGACAAGAGCAUCUAAUGUGGCAGUUUUAAUAUCCGCACUGCAACCUUCAAUAUCCUGGUAGAUAUGACAUAAAACAUAUACAAAACUAAAUCAGUUUAUUGUUUUAAUUAUAAGAGUUAGAAUCUGAGAUAUCCAACCUUAGAUUGAUUUUGUAUAGAGGAAUGUGGUUCCCAUAAAAAAAAAAACAUCCUCCAUUAUAUCAUCACCAAACACUUUGCCUAGUGUCACCGACAACCUAAAAAUUUAAAAUGAGCAUUGGAUGAUUUAUGAUAACGUUCUCAUUUUGAUGUACUAUAUAUGCAUAUUAUAAUCAUAUACAUAAGUCAUAUCACAUAUACAUUAUAAUAACAAUAUAACUACUAGGCACAUCAGUCAAAAUUCCCAACAAACUAAACUAAAAAUAUAUCAUAAAUUUUUAUUUUUUUUAAAGAUUAAGAUAAAUUCAUAUAUGAAACAACGUGUAAAACAAUUAUUUAGGAAAAAAUAUCUUUUUCCCUUUGUCUUUCAAGCUUGUGGCCAUAGCCAUCUCUUCGACAUUGUCACAUGAUGGUGCAUCCUCCAUUAUAUCAUCUCCCAUUUUAUAUUGAUUGUGUCUCAACAACAGAGAGAGCCACAACAUCGAAUUCAACACCCUCCAAGCAAAGAACAACUCCUAUUUCUCCAUUGAACUCUCUGUCCUCUGCACAUUUAUCAAUCGUUGAUAUGCACAACGGAUACAUCACGAACACUGGUUGAGAUUCUUAACCUCCACAUACAACCGAACACUAUUAUCAUUACAGAUAUGAAAAGGUGAUUCAUUGCCGUCAACAACAUAACGUACAUCAAUAUUUUUUCAAGAUUUGUCAAUGUUUAAUUCGACAAUAAUUGACGACAUCAACCUCAAAUAAUUAAUUAAUUCAGCGACAACGAUCCCUUCACUUUUGUAAUUAACAUAUUUUGUUUCGAUUCCCCAUUGACCAAAAUACCUCAAAAAAAAUUAGCAAUAUUCAUCUUCUUGAAUUUCAAUAAAUUAGCAAUAUUCAUCUUCUUGAAUUUCAAUUAAUUUUUUUUCUUCAAAAAGAUCAAAAAACAGUGCUCAAAUUGAUUUUGAUUUAUAUUUUUCGUCUUAUUUGAUUUUUAUGUAUUUGUUGUUUUCAAAAUUAGAAUUUCAGUAGUUGUUACAUAAUUUAAGGGAUGCAAUAAUCCACUUAUUAAAUUAGUUACGUUAAUUACGUCCUUAAUGGCAGGGGAAUCCGCUAUUUUCAUUUUAACAAUGGUAACAAAUUCGCAUAUACAAAGGUUUCUAUGUAUAUGUCGGCAGUCUUAUGUAUAUGAAUUGGGAGAGAGUAAAAUAAUUAAAGAAGUGGGAGAAUGUAAAUAAUAGUAAAAGGAUUGGUAUUUAUGUUAUUUACUAGUUUAGGUGUACGCGCCUUGCGCGUGUACCUUACUUUAUUGAGUUUAAACGUUACACUAAAUAAGAUAUUUGUUUAAAUAAUAAAGAUGAAUAUAAUAAUUAAAUUCAACAUCUUUUAAAGAAUUUAUUUAAUUAAACCUAACCUUACCAAAAAAAUUUCUCAAAGCCGAUCGACAUUCAUCUACCACCUGUAAACUGCAACAAAACAAUAAAACAAUAUGAUGAUAAAGACAUCAAAACAAUAUAAUUAAAUUUAAACUUUACACAAAAAUUUCCUCAAAGUCUUCCGACACUCAUCUACCACCUGUAAACUAUAACAAAAUAAUACGAUAAUAGAGAUAUCAAAAUAAUACAACUAAACUUUACCUUUAACACAAAAAAAAUCUCAAAACAGAGAUAUAAAAAUAAUACAAUUAAACCUAAUUCUUACCUAAAAAAAUUCCUCAAAGCCGACCGACAUUUAUCUACCACCUGUAAAUUCAUCUAAGACCUGUAAACUACAACAAAAUAAUACUAUAGUGAUAAAAAGGCUUCAGUUUUGAUGAAACUAAUUUUUGUUUGGGCGAAAAAACUACAACAAAAUAAUACAAUAAUAAUCACAAAGCUUCAGUUUUGAUGAAAAUAAUUCUUGUCUGAGCAAAAAUUGACACUAAAAAAAUGACUUAAAUAAAAACAAAGAAGACAUAUACACACACAUGAAUGAAGUUGAAGGCUAGAAAAUUAAGCAUCCAUCAAUCUAGAUAUGCAACCGAAUCAAGUUAGAUGAGUAUCAGUCAUAUUUUCACAAUAAGUAAACCAGUUUCUUCUCUAAUUUAAUGUGCAUCUCAAUAUUUAUAGAAGUAUUUUCUUAAUAGAGUCCUAUUUUAGAAGUAUUUUUUUAUCCUAGUUUAGGAGUAUUUUUCAUCUAAAAUUUUAGUAACUUAUGUUAAGAGAGAGAAAGUAAUCUUUUAUUUUAUUUUAACGUCUUUAUAUUGACAUAAUUAGUUAGAAUGAUAUUUAUUUCACUUCUUAUACAAUUACAAAUUCAAAUUUUUCUUUGUAGUCUCAACUUUUUUUUGCUCCGUUUUCGUCAAGUUGAAUUUUCCUAAAUUCAAAUGUUUUUCCAGUACGUUUUUCUUAUGGUAAAGCCCCUCCCCCCUUCAAAAUAUGGUAAUUCUUAUUAAAAUAUUAAUUGAUUCUCUUUUUAUAUAUUUUAAGAGUCUCAUAUAUUUUAGGAGUCUAGUUAAUAUACUAAAAAUAAUUAAAUAAUAAAUUAAAGAAAAUAGCGAAAAGAUAGUUUUGUCUGAAGGAGAGUCUUUUAAUGAAGGGCAAAAAAUUCAAAUCACUUUUAUAAGGGUCUUUACACUUUUAAUAUAUUAUAGAUAUAGAUAUUGAAAUUAGACCAUAUCAUACAUUUUAAGAAACAAUCAAAACAAAUAUGAUUCUCCUAGUAACCAUACCAUACCAUGAAAAACUACCAUCCAAAUAGUGUGUAAAAUUUCCAAAUGUGAUUUUUAUUAUACUUAUCUUCAUCUCUCUUCAAUAUAUUUUAUUCAUACAAGUUCAAUAUCGACCAAAGAACGUCACUACCAGCAACAGAGGCGGAUCAUGUUGGGUGUCACGUUCAUUUGGAUUUAAUAUUUUCGAUAUGAAAGAUACAUGUAUAUGUAAUUAUUUAUUAAAAUUACAAUAAGUAAAACUUGAAUCGAUCUAAAAAUCAUAAGGGUUGAGCUCACAAAAUUUAAAUCUUAGACUCGUUUCAAUCGAAGAUACUUCGGAAAUAACUUCUAUAUCUCCACAAGUUAACAGUAAAGUCAACAUACAAUCUAUUACUUGUAAAAUUUCACAGACUAUGUUAUUGUUGUUCCAUCAACAAAUACUCUAAAUUGCACAUCAAAGAUAGUUUGAUGAUACACGUAUCCCUAAGUUUGUCAUACUUAUUACUAGAAAAAAAAAUUGUAGUGGGACACUCGUAUCUUUUUUGGAUUUUGGUCAUUUCAUAAUAGACUUGCAAUCUUUUAUAUAGGAGGUGGCCACUGGCCAUUAGGGGGCUACAAAAGACAGGUAUACAGAAAUAACCCUUUGGUUACACAAAACAUGCAUUCAGUAAUUCUUAUUUGAGCAUUAGAACAUUUCGUUGUACUAAAUAUAAGUUGUUUAUUGGUUAGAAAAAAAGAGUAACAAUAUGCUCCUUAUUUUAGUUAUUUUAUUUAUCUAAUCAUUUAGGUAACUCAAGUAUGUAUUUUUUUUUUUACAUUGUACUGUAAAGAAGAAAAGGGCACAAGUGAGAUGACUUAGUUGAUGCAAGAGGUGGUAUUCUAUAAGGAAGGUCCGAGAUUAAUUUUCUCCAUCUGACUUCUUCUUAGUCUAGCUCACCACACUAGAAAACACUUCUUUAAAAAUAGUGUAUAAAUUUAAAUUAAUCAAACUAGUGAAUUAAAUAUCAAAUGGUUAUACUAAAUUCUUAUAAAUGCAGAGAAAGGAAAUUUCCCUUUGGGCUCCACUUCUCUAAAUGGGAACAAGGAUAUUAUUUCUUUCUUUCACUUUUCCAUAAAACCAAACAAAGAAACUGUAAUAUCUUUCUGCCUUUACACUUUCUUGAUUUUGACUUCCCUUUCCUUUUCAUUCCUUUUCUGUUCUUCAUUUCACUGCUUUCUGAAGAAAUCCAAACAAACUAAGGUUGAUCUUUAAUUUUUAUCCUUCAAAAUCAAGCUUAUAUUAUGGUGCUCUGGAGGAAGGUAGUAGGUACUAAGGUACCCUGCGGAGUUGAUGCACACAAACUGGCCCGACCAGUAUGAUAAUUGAAAAAGGUAGUUGUUCUUGUUAAUUUUAUCUGCACUUUGUAUCAGGGGCGGAUUCAGGGUGCUGGGUGGGGGAUCCCGGAAACCCAGUAACUUUCGUACGGAACUAUUAUUUAUAUAGCGAAAUCAAGUAAAUAUAUAAGAAUUAUAAGUUAGAAACCCAUAAAUAAAGUGUAUUGUUGGUCUAGUGGAGUAGAUGGAUUUGUAAAAGAUUUAUUGUCCUCUUAGUUGUAGGUUCAAAUCCCCGUAGCCACUAUUUGUUUUUAUUUUUGUUAAUGCAAAAAAUCCACAAACUUUAAAUACUGCCUGUGCUUUAUAUAUUGAACUAGUCUAAUAUUUGAUAUACACUAUGUAUAUAGUUGGAGAUUCCCAUCAAAUGUAGUAAAAAAAAAAAAAACAAUGGUACUGCCAGGACCAUACAUCUGGUCGACCAUACGUGGUAAUGAAAAUACAAAGUAUACUCUAUUUCUCAGCAUUAACAAAUUUAUGGACGUCAUGUCUACCAGGUCGUCUCUAUCGUGAAGAUUAUGACUGCAUUUACCAGUUACCAUAACCACCUUUACCAUUCCAGGCAGUGAUUCCCAGAACAGAGUUCUGAUGGAAGCUGUGUGGAUGAAUCCUCAUAGAAGCUGAAACAAUUUUCGGUCAGAAACGCGGCACCAACGUGCUUGGUGCAGCUAAUGAGCAAACCAUAGGAAGUAGAGGUGAGUAGAUAAUUUCAAUCAGCAAAGUAGCCGAUGGAAGAGAUUUCUAAGUAGGGUAGUACCAUGAAAUUCUCGUCCAAUCCACAGAAGCGCAAACACACUCCAUUCAGAUUAUGUUCUUCAUUUUUCUGCUGUUCCUCUUGCAUGCCUUAACGGUUAGGAUUGAACAUCACCCUCUAGCCAAUCAAACAUCAUUGUCAUUGGACUGAAUCAAUGAUAUUGAGGAAGUCGGUCAGAUCCUUCUUCUCAACUAAAUUAUUGACAUUUACUAGUGAUAAUAUAAUAUGUGGGGGAAGGGCCGCACCCCAAGGGUGUGAUGUAGACAACAUAUCCUAAUACAAAACAUUAGUGGUUGCUUCCACGGCUCGAACGCGUGACCUAUAGGUCAAACAGAAACAACUUUACCGCUGCUCCAAAGAUCCCCUCAAGUGAUAAUAUAAUAUACAACAACAUACCCAGAUCCCAGUGUAAUCCCAUAAAGUGGGGGAGUACUGAUAAUAUAAUACAGUAAACAUAAUUAGAAAAUACUGAUGAUUCCUAAACAAGAAAUACUUCAUUUUUUGGUAAAAUCAUUGCGUCGCUUGUCAGAUAUUAGUUUGGUUUGGAAACCAAACCAAAUUGUUCUCUUUUAUAACGCAGUGUCACAAUCAACUCGUGCCCUUUCAUGAAGUAUUUGUUGCCUUCUAUCAAAAGGUAAUGAGUUCAAGAUUUGUGUAUUGUUGGUGUACAAAAUAUUUAAUAUUAUCAAGUAAAUUUGAUCUGCCAUUGCAGAUUAUUGAGUUUUUUACAUAAAAAUUGAAAAAGAAAAAAUUAGUUAAUCAUAUAAAAUUUAUCUGAUAGUAUAGAGUAGUUUAUACAGAGAUAAAGCACAAAACUUAAAUUUAAAGAUAAUUCUGUGCCCCUUGAACAUUUGCAUAAGUACAAUGUUUUAGUGCAAAUUUGCCUUGCCAUAAAGCCUAACGUACUCGCAGAGAUUUGGGCAAAUUCUAGCAAUGAAAAAUCUUUAUCAUGUCAUAAACUUGACGAAUCCUCACAAUUUAAUCACAAAAUUGAUUUAUUAUAUUUUUUAAUAUUUUUUUUUUUGCUUUAAAAGUGUCAUGAAUGAAUUUCAAAUGACUUCAAAUUUGCUAAAGAAAAUUCUAAUAGUAACCUCAAUAAUUCAUGUUUGCUGAGGAUUUUAGGGAAAUAAUCUCUCAAUCUUUUCGAGGCAGUGAUAAAAUAUAUGUAUAUUUUAUCCUUCUAGACCUCACUUAUAGAAUUUCACUUAGUAUAUUAUUGUUGUAGUAGCCUCGAUAAAAGUUAAAUUUUUGACUCCUUUCAAUCGAGGGUCCUUCGAAAAUAAUUUCUCUAUCUUUACAAGUUAAGACUAAAUUUUAAUUGUAAAAUUUCAUUGACUAUGUUAUUGUUGUUCCAUAAUAGACUUGCAAUCUUUUAUAUAGGAGGUGGCCACUGGCCAUUAGGGGGCUACAAAAGACAGGUAUACAGAAAUAACCCUUUGGUUACACAAAACAUGCAUUCAGUAAUUCUUAUUUGAGCAUUAGAACAUUUCGUUGUACUAAAUAUAAGUUGUUUAUUGGUUAGAAAAAAAGAGUAACAAUAUGCUCCUUAUUUUAGUUAUUUCAUUUAUCUAAUCAUUUAGGUAAUUCAAGUAUGUAUUUUUGAUGGUAUUCUAUAAGGGAGGUCCGGGAUUAAUUUUCUCCAUCUGACUUCUUCUCAGUCUAACUCACCGCACUAGACAACACUUCUUUAAAAAUAGUGUAUAAAUUUGAAUUAAUCAAACUAGUAAAUUAAAUAUCAAAUGGUUAUACUAAAUUCUAAUAAAUGAAGAGAAAGGAAAUUUCCCUUUGGGCUCCACUUCUCUAAAUGGGAACUAGGAUAUUAUUUCUUUCUUUCACUUUUCCAUAAAACCAAACAAAGAAACUGUAAUAUCUUUCUGCCUUUACACUUUCUUGAUUUUGACCUCCCUGUCCUUUUCGUUCCUUUUCUGUUCUUCAUUUCACUGCUUUCUGAAGAAAUCCAAACAAACUAAGGUUGGUCUUUAAUUUUUGUCCUUCAAAAUCAAGCUUAUAUCUAGCAGGAUAUAACUUGUGAAAUAUUAUGGUUCUCUGGAGGAAGGUAGUAGGUACUAAGGUACCCUGCGGAGUUGAUCUCCAUGCACACAAACUGGCCCGAUCAGUACGAUAAUUGAAAAAGGCAGUUGUUCUAGUUAAUUUUAUCUGCGCUUUGUAUGUUGAACUAGUCUAAUAUUUGAAGUAGUAGAAAAAACCAAUGACUGCCAGGACCAUACAUCUGGUUGACCAUACGUGAUAUUGAAAAUACAAAGUAUAUUUCUCAGCAUUAGUCAAUGUAGUCAGCCAUAUAUAGUGCUUGCCAGAACUGUAAGAAAUUGUAAACAAAUUUAUGGACGUCAUGUCUACCAGGUCGUCUCUAUCGUGAAGAUUAUGACUGCAUUUACCAGUUACCAUAACCACCUUUACCAUUCCAGGCAGUGAUUCCCAGAACAGAGUUCUGAUGGAAGCUGUGUGGAUGAAUCCUCAUAGAAGCUGAAACAAUUUUAGGGCAGAAACGUGAAAGCUGCACCCGGCAGAACGUGCUUGGUGCAGCUAAUGAGCAAACCAUAGGAAGUAGAGGUGUAACACCCCGUAGUAUUCUCGACUUGAUACCACACUUAGUAGCAUGCUUAAAGAGCUAACAACCUGAAACUUUUCCAAGUGUUUAAAAGGACUUAGUCAUAUUUUAAGUUCCUGAAUUUCAAUGAUCCUUAAAUCGAUCUUUCCGACCUCGAGACGUAGAUUUUAAAGUUAAUUCAUGUUCAAGGAUGUAAGGGGCAUGUCUUGGGGAAGUUUCAGAAUUUUCGAACGAGUGUAAGGGCAUGUUUGGAUCACCAAAACAGUAGCACGCCGCAAUAUGCCUGCGUCACCUGCUCCAUUUCGGUGCUACGGAACACACGUCGCGCGCUCCAUUCCGGCGCUCCGUAGCCCGCUGAAUAGCGUGCUCUCAUAUUUUUCAGUUCCUGUUUCCGCGUAUUUGAGGGCAAUCAGGUCAUUUACCUUACCCAAAACUGUCCAAAACACAAGAUUGAAGCCCCCAAAGAGCAUUUGUUACAUCAUCAUUCACUUUUCCUCUCCAAGAAAACCCUAAACCCCCCAAAGAUCAAGAAUCAAGCUCUUACGUCAAGAUUUCCAACAAACAAAUCAAGAUUCGGGUUCUAUCCUUCGAACUAAGUAAUCUAAGAUACGUGGGGCCAUCCUAAACUCCUUGGGCAUAAGUUUUAUGAUUUUUAUUAAGUUCAAAGAUAUAUAAUCAUGUUUACAAAGAGGGUUUUGACAUGGUUUUGAAUAGCAUAUAUUAUGAACUUGUUUUGAUGAAAGUAAACGUUUGUCUUGAACCCCUUUUAUAGAAUUGAAUUAUAACCACGUAUACAUACGCGUUUUCAGUUUUGCAAAGUUCAAUUGAGAGCAUAAAUGACGCAACCCCUCUCUUGUUUCGAUACCUCUUGAUUUCACAUGUUGUUGGUUGUUCAAUUGUAUAUUUUGAACAACAACAAACCCAGUGUAUUCCCACAUAGUGAGGUCUGGGGAGGGUAAGAUGUACGCAGUCCAUACCUCUACCUCUAAAGAAGUAGAAAGGUUGUUUCCGAUAGACCCCCGGCUCGAGGCACGGAAUACUAAACAAAUUCAUAGUAAACCAUAACAUAAAUACGACACCCACAAGUAAUAGUAAACAGAGAAAAGUAAACAGAUUCGUAAUAAAGCAUGAAACAAGGUAUCAUAACAAGAAUAAUACCCGCACCAAGUAAUUCCCUACCCUACACCCAAACUGACCUUAGCCUUCUGUCCUAAUUCGCGUCCUCCAGAUCUUCCUAUCUAGGGUCAUGUCCUCAAUGAGUUGUAACUGCUCCAUGUCCCGCCUAAUCACCUCUCCCCAGUACUUCUUCGGCCUACCCCUACCCGCCUAAAACCAUCCAAAGCUAGCCUCUCACACCUACGAACCAGGGCAUCCAUGCCCCUCCUCAUAACGUGUCUGAACCAUCUCAAUCGGACUUCCCGCAUCUUAAUCUAACUCUAUCCCCCCUAGUCAGCUCACACAUCCAACGCAACAUCCGCAUUUCCGCCACCUUCAUUUUUUGAAUGUGAGAGUUCUUAACUGGCCAACACUCCGCUCCAUACAACAUGGCCGGACGGAUUGCCACCCUGUAAAAUUUGCCUUUAAGCUUGGGCGGCACCUUCUUAUCACACUAUACCCCCGAAGCGAGCUUCCACUUCAUCUAUCCCACCCCAAUACGGUGCGAGACAUCCUCUUCAAUAUCACCGUUACCCUGAAUCACGGACCCGAGAUACUUGAAACUAUCCCUCUUACAUACCACCUGUGAUUCCAACUUCACUACCACCUCAUUCUCCAGCCUCACGUCAUUAAACUUGCAUUCCAAAUACUCUGUCUUACUCCUACUCAACCUGAACCCUUUAGACUCAAGAGUUUGUCUCCACACCUCUAAUUUCCGCGUCUCAUCAAUCAAAACUACAUCAUCUGCAAAAAGCAUACANNNNNNNNNNNNNNNNNNNNNNNNNNNNNNNNNNNNNNNNNNNNNNNNNNNNNNNNNNNNNNNNNNNNNNNNNNNNNNNNNNNNNNNNNNNNNNNNNNNNNNNNNNNNNNNNNNNNNNNNNNNNNNNNNNNNNNNNNNNNNNNNNNNNNNNNNNNNNNNNNNNNNNNNNNNNNNNNNNNNNNNNNNNNNNNNNNNNNNNNNNNNNNNNNNNNNNNNNNNNNNNNNNNNNNNNNNNNNNNNNNNNNNNNNNNNNNNNNNNNNNNNNNNNNNNNNNNNNNNNNNNNNNNNNNNNNNNNNNNNNNNNNNNNNNNNNNNNNNNNNNNNNNNNNNNNNNNNNNNNNNNNNNNNNNNNNNNNNNNNNNNNNNNNNNNNNNNNNNNNNNNNNNNNNNNNNNNNNNNNNNNNNNNNNNNNNNNNNCCAGGCAUAAAUCCAAACUGGUUCUCCGAAAUAGACACUAUCCGUCUCAGCCUCACCUCGACUACUCUCUCCCAAAUCAUCAUAGAGUGACUCACUCAAUAACUACCCCUAUAGUUAUUGCAACUCUGAAUGUCACCCUUGUUCUUAUAAAGAGAGAUCAUAGUACUCCACCUCCAAGCCUCGGGCAUUUUCGCCGUCUUGAAAAUUCCAUUAAACAAUCCAGUCAACCACAUUAAACCAGCCUCGCCAGAAAACUUCCAAAAAUCCACAGGUAGGUAUCUCAUCAGGCCCCGUCGCCCUACCCCUUCGCAUCCUGCGAACAACCUCUCUAACCUCCUCUACCUUAAAACGUCUACAAUAACUAAAAUCCCGACACUCCUCUGAGUGCUCCAACUCCCCUAACACAAUAGCUCUAUCCCUUCGUCAUUCAAGACCUAUGAAAAUACGACUACCAUCUAUUCUUAAUGUGGCCAUCCUCCACCAACACUGUACCGUCCUCCCCCUUAAUGCACUUCACCUGAUCGAGGUCACGACCCUUCCUCUCCCUAGCCUUAGCGAGUCUAAACAACUUUUUUUCUCCUCCUUUCUCCUAUAACCCCGCAUACAAGCUCUCAAAUGCUGCCGUCUUAGCCGUAGUAACUGCUAACUUAGCCUCCUUCAUAGCUAACUUGUACUCUUUCCUAUUUACCUGCUUCUCUUCUUCGUCCUUACUCUCAACCAACUUAGCAUACGCCCCUUUCUUGGUCUCCACUUUCUUCUUAACCUCUUCAUNNNNNNNNNNNNNNNNNNNNNNNNNNNNNNNNNNNNNNNNNNNNNNNNNNNNNNNNNNNNNNNNNNNNNNNNNNNNNNNNNNNNNNNNNNNNNNNNNNNNNNNNNNNNNNNNNNNNNNNNNNNNNNNNNNNNNNNNNNNNNNNNNNNNNNNNNNNNNNNNNNNNNNNNNNNNNNNNNNNNNNNNNNNNNNNNNNNNNNNNNNNNNNNNNNNNNNNNNNNNNNNNNNNNNNNNNNNNNNNNNNNNNNNNNNNNNNNNNNNNNNNNNNNNNNNNNNNNNNNNNNNNNNNNNNNNNNNNNNNNNNNNNNNNNNNNNNNNNNNNNNNNNNNNNNNNNNNNNNNNNNNNNNNNNNNNNNNNNNNNNNNNNNNNNNNNNNNNNNNNNNNNNNNNNNNNNNNNNNNNNNNNNNNNNNNNNNNNNNNNNNNNNNNNNNNNNNNNNNNNNNNNNNNNNNNNNNNNNNNNNNNNNNNNNNNNNNNNNNNNNNNNNNNNNNNNNNNNNNNNNNNNNNNNNNNNNNNNNNNNNNNNNNNNNNNNNNNNNNNNNNNNNNNNNNNNNNNNNNNNNNNNNNNNNNNNNNNNNNNNNNNNNNNNNNNNNNNNNNNNNNNNNNNNNNNNNNNNNNNNNNNNNNNNNNNNNNNNNNNNNNNNNNNNNNNNNNNNNNNNNNNNNNNNNNNNNNNNNNNNNNNNNNNNNNNNNNNNNNNNNNNNNNNNNAAGCCCACUUGCGGCGCAUAAGCACUACACACGUUCAGGGUAAACCCCCCAAUGACCAACUUAAUAGUCAUCAACCUAUCGCUGAUCCUCUUUACCUCUACUACCUGACCUCUAAGCUCUUCAUCUACUAAGAUGCCAACUUCAUUCCUACGCAUCUCGCUCCCAGAGUACCAAAGCUUGUAACCAUCCACAUCCCUAGCCUUAGACCCUACCCACUUGGUCUCUUGAACACACGCAAUAUUAAUCCUCCUCUUCUAAGAAUUUUCACAAGCUCCAUGGACUUACCCUAAAGAGUCUCUAUAUUCCAAGACCCAACGCUCAGCCUACCAACCCUAUCAACACGUCUUGCUCUACCGCCCCUGAGGCCAAACCUUGGCCUCCCUCUCACCCCCGCCCUUUCCUCUUCUCCCGCCACCACAACAGCCCCCCGCCCCAACCCCCUCGGACAUGACCCUAUCCAACCAUCAAUGCCCACAGCCACUACUACAAGAAAAUAUAAGAAAAUAUAAACAAUGGUAGUAACAAAGCAGCAGUUAGAAGAAAUAAUCAAGAAACAAAACUAAACUCAAAUAGGGAGAAAAAACAAAACCAAGGUAAGGACAAAACUAACAGUAAGAAAAAUAGAGCACAAUAAUGGCCUGGCACCAAGGACAGCCAAACAAAUAAUAAGGAGCGGUGCAAGUCACGAAUAUACUACAGCAGACACGCAAGUCAAGAUACAGGAGAUAGUACGAUAAAUAAUAUGAAGCAACAUAAGAGGUUCAGAAAUAGCAAGACAAUAAAGACACUAUCAAAGUAUACACUAUAUCCAAAUUUUAAGAACUAAUAGAAAUCCAAAUCACAGAUAGGAAAUCCCACGCAAAUUACAGGCAACAAAAAUAUUGAAAAAUCACGUGAUAAAAUAAAGUUAAAGAGUUAGAAGUCACCAAAAAUACGUAUAUCAUGUAAUCUGCUCUUGCUUGUUGUGCUGGAACCUGGCAAACUGGGUCGCCGAAAUCACUUCGCCGGAAAGUCGCCGGCUCGGAUCUGGACAGUAGUUGCAAUAUCCGGUAGCGACCCCCACCUGAAUUUUGUGGCUCCGCCGCCUUCACCACCGACGUCCGUCGAACCAGUCGAACCAGUUCACCGAAUCCGAUCGCGGACCAGUAAUCAGCAAGUUGCUGCCUUCGCAAAUCUGCUGAUAGUGGAGAGGGGAGAGAGGGAGGGAGGGGGAAAGGGAGAGAGGGAGGGAGGGGGAAAGAGAGGAAGACCAAGAAAGAGAGGGAGAGAGAAGUGUGCCUACCUGUCGCUGGUGUUGUUUCGCCGCCGGCGUCUACUUCACAGAGACUGACCAGUCACGUCAAAGAGAAUGCAGGGGAAGGGAGAGACCAAGGAAAAGAGAUGGAGCAACGUACUUACCUGUCGCCGGCAUCUGCUUCAACGGCGACGGCACGGUCUGUAUACAAAUUUUGAAUUUUGAGCAGAAUCCAAGUACCAAAAUUGAAUUUUGAGGGAAACCCAAGUUGUGAAAUUGGAUUUAGAGGGAAACCAGAAGGGAAUUUGGAAUCCGAUGAGUAAUUCCGGCGACAAAUCUAGGGUUUGGGCGGUAGAAGGAGGAAAGAGAAAGAGGAGAGAGAGCUUCAACACAACUUUAAUAUAUCGUCUAUGUAAAAGAAAAAUUAUACUAUCAUGUCAUUCCCAAUUGUAUAUUUUGAAGUAAGAGAUAACUGUUUUACUAUUGAUAUGGACUUGAUAUUGGUUGUAAAUUGAAGAGAGGGUGUUUUCUUGCUUGUAAAUGUUAAAAUGAUUAUUGAAAGAAUUGCAUGGUUUGCUACAAAGUAAUUGACCACCACAUGUUUAAGAAUUGAAAGAGAGAAUCUUUGCAUAAGUUUUCAUAUAUUUCGAAACACAAAUUCUCUCGUACUGUUUGAAUGAUUUGGUGGUCCAAACAUUAUGUUUUAAAUGAAAAGACUGUAACAUGAUAUUUUAUGGCUUAUCCGACUUGCAAGUCUUGGUAUGACGAUAAACAGACAAAUGCCAUAAUAGACUCAGACCAGACCAGACCACUGAAAGUUUUCAGACAUUAGACCACUUUUCAGAAAGACGCGUGAUUUAAAAUGUUAAAAAUAGGCUUAAAGAGAGUUAGAUGGUUACUCGAAGAAGGCAUGAGUGUAAGGCUCAUCCCUGGAAACCGAGUUUUGCCGAUUCGGGUGAUAUGAUUGGCUAACACCAAUGUAUACAUGUCAUUGAGACACUGGUAUACUAGACGUGUAUGUAGGACCCCUAUCCUUGCGGCAAACUUGAAAGUGGGGGCUUGGCCGACUAGUUAAUGGCGGACCCAUAUAGCCCGUGGGUACUAGACUUGUAGGGUGUACCAUCUAGCUUAAAGAGUGAGUCAUGAUUUCAAAGAAUUGUUUCAAAGUCUUUUAAGUAAGCCCAUGUGUUUUCAUAUAUUGUAUGUAAAAUGUUUUAUGAAUUGCCCUCAUGUAUGUUGUAUAAAAGAAUGCUAUUUUGGAUUGCUCUACGUACCAGUACAUCUGUAUUGACUCCUAUAUUUCAGGAUUUGAGGCUCAGUCCCGGGGUCCCGCUAAGCAGUAGAUUGAUCCUGUCAGAAGUCACAGCUGGUGAGUCUCCUUUACUUCGGAAGGCCUGGUUAUGGAACAUUGUUAUUUUAUUUGGGUUUAUGGUCUAACUGGGGGCCUUGUCCCAGUUUUCAGACAGAUAUUGUUUUUGUGUUAUUAGAGAUUUCGCAGACUAAUGUCAUGAAUCUUGAAUGUUAUGAACUUCAUCUCGUAUUUGUUCAGUUGAAUUAAGAGACUGACCAUGUUUCCGUUUCGUUAAUUUUCGCAUUUCUUUAUAUUGUAUGGACGUUGUGCAUGAUUGCCAGAUAGAAAAAAAGGGCGCUCAGGCCUUCAUGGCUUGGGAUGCUCGUCGCGGCCUGGGCCUCGGUUCGGAUCGUGACAAACUUGGUACCAGAGCACAGUUCAUGGUCCCAGGGUGUCUGCGAAAUCGCGUCGGGUAGAGUCCUGUUCAUGGGUGUAUAGCGCACCACACUUAUAAGCAGGGGGCUACAAGGUGUUUAGGAAUGUCUCUCUUCUUUGCAUGAUUUAGUUCGUGCUAUAGAGUCUGUACGUCCUCUACUCAAUGAUUUCCUAUAUUUCAGAAAGUUAACAUGCCUCCCCGUAGAUCCAACGAACAGAAUGCCCAAGCUGAGGAUGUCCGCCCUACCCAUAGGAUGCGGACUCGUAUUAGAGCUCGUACCCUAGAGUUUGUUGCUACUCUAGGAGUUCCUCCUGUUCAGACUAGUCCACCUCGGUGUAAUACCCCGUACUUUUUCUUAGCUUGAAAUCGUCCCAAGGAUGUUAGAAGCUUGCUUUGAAAUAUGAAUCCACUUUUGUACAUGUGGUAUUUUUAAGAUUUUCACUUAUAUUCAUGUGGAAAAGUGAAUUAGCUUUCCAACGAUACCAAUUUCGUCCAAAUCCGGUAUCAGAGUAAAAAGUUAUGGACAUUUUACUCAGAGCUGUCAGAAUCGCCCAGGUGCGACGGCCAGGUUGGCGGACCGUCGCCUUGACCGUCGCAGCCAAGGCAGUGAGGCAACCUUCUGGAUAAGGUGCAACGGACAGGUUGUAAAUGUUAAAAUGAUUAUUGAAAGAAUUGCAUGGUUUGCUACAAAGUAAUUGACCACCACAUGUUUAAGAAUUGAAAGAGGGAAUCUUUGCAUAAGUUUUCAUAUAUUUCGAAAUACAAAUUCUCUUGUACUGUUUGAAUGAUUUGAUGGUUCAAACAUUAUGUUUUAAAUGAAACGACUGUAACAUGAUAUUUUAUGGCUUAUCCGACUUGCAAGUCUUGGUAAGACGAUAAACAGACAAAUGCCAUAACAGACUCACACUAAACCACAGAAAGUUUACAGACAUUAGACCACUUUUCAGAAAGACACAUGAUUUAAAAUAUUAAAAAUAGGCUUAAGGAAAGUUAGAUGGUUACCCGAAGAAGGCAUGAGUGUAAGGGCUCAUCGCUGGAAACCGAGUUUUGCCAAUUCGGGUGAUAAGAUUAGCUAACGCCAAUGUAUACUUGUCCUUGAGACACUGGUAUACUAGACUAGUAUGUAGGACCCUUAUCCUUGCGGCAAACUUGGAUGUGGGGGCUUGGCCAACGAGUUAAUUGCGGACCCAUAUAGCCCGUAGGUACUAGACUUGUAGGGUGUACCAUCUAGCUCAGAAGUAAGACAAAGAGCGAGUCAUGAUUUCAAAGAAUUGUUUCAAAGUCUUUUAAGUAUGCCCAUAUGUUUUCAUAUAUCGUAUGUAAAAUGUUUUAUGAAUUGCCCUCAUGUAUGUUGUAUAAAAGAACGCUAUUUUGGAUUGCUCUGCAUACCAUUACAUCUGUAUUGACUCCUAUAUUUCAGGAUCUGAGGCUCAGUCCCAAGUCCCACUAAGCAGUAGAUUGAUCCUGUCAGAAGUCCCAGUUGGUGAGCCUCCCUUACUUCGAAAGGCCCGGUUAUGGAACAUUAUUAUUUUAUUUGGGUUUAUGGUCCGACUGGGGCCUUGUCCCAGUUUUCAGACAGAUAUUGUUUUCAUGUUAUUAGAGAUUUCGCAGAGUAGUGUCAUGAAUCUUGAAUGCUAUAAACUUAAUCUCGUAUUUGUUCAGUUGAAUUAAGAGAUUGACUAUGUUUCCGUUUUGUUAAAUUUCCGCAUUUCUUUAUAUUGUAUGGACGUUGUGCAUGAUUGCCAGAUAGAAAAAGGGGCGCUCAGGCCUUCACGGCUUGGGAUGCUUGUCGCGGCCUUGAGCCUCGGUUUGGGUCGUGAUAAGAGAAGAGUAGAUAAUUUUAAACAGCAAAGUAGCCCAGAGAUGGAAGAGAUUUCUAAGUAGGGUAGUACCACGAAAUUCUUGUCCAAUCCACAGAAACGCAAAUGCACUCCAUUCAGAUUAUGUUCUUCAUUUCAUGCUUUGAGCAAUCUCACGGGACGGGAAAGAAUUUCUGUUGCUUCUCUUGAAUGCUUUAACGGUUAGGAUUGCCGCAAUAACAUCACCUCUAGCCAAUCAAGCAUCAUUGUCAUUGGACUGAAUCAAUGAUAUUGAGGAAGUCAGUCAGAUCCUUCUUCUCCACUAAAUUAUCGAUAUUUAAUAGUGAUAAUAUAAUAUGUGGUAGCCCCGUGCACAAAGCAUCUAGCAUUAGCAGGGUACGGGGAGGGCCGCACCCCAAGAGUGUGAUUUAGACAACAUAUCCUAAUACAAACAUUAGUGGUUGCUUCUACAGCUCGAACGCGUGACCUUAGGUAACACGGAGACAACUUUAUUGCUGCUCCAAAGCUCCCCUCCAGUGAUAAUAUAAGAUACAACAAUAUACCCAGAUCCCAGUGUAAUCCCAUAAAGUGGGGGAGUGAUAAUAUAAUACAGAAAACAUAAUUAGAAAAUACUGAUGAUCCCUAAACAAGAAAUACUUCAUUUUUGGUAAAAUCUUUGCGUCGCUUGCCAGAUAUUAGUUUGAUUUCCAAACCAAACUUGUUUCUGUUUGGUUUGGAAACCAAACCAAAUUGUUCUCUGUUGAGUUUACGCCCAAAAAUUCCUAAUCAAAUGAUGUAAAAAAAGGUGUUACCUAACACUACCCAAAUAAGUUCCAUGUUCAUACUGAUGCACCACUCUAUGCAGUUGGAUGUAUGUUCUUGAUAACAGCUAAUAAUAGAAUUCAUGCAUCAGCAAACCAAUAUGUAAAUCUUUAACUUACCUGAUUCACUUUUGUUUGAGGCCUCCCCUGAAAAAUCCUUGUACUCUUAGGAAAUGAUAAAUCCUUGUCCUCUUAGGCUGCUCUUUACUCAUAAAGCAUCUUGGGAGGCAAAUCUCACUAUGGACAAUCUGAGACAGCAGAAAAGUAUAUAAAUUAACUGCCGUGAACUAUCAAAAGAAGCUGAGGGAAAUUCAAAUCGGCGUCAUGCAAAAGAGGUUUGAUAAGCUUGCUUAGCAGCUUAGAUAGUUUCACAGCAUCAAACCUUGGUUUGCAAGUGCAAUCCGAAAAAUGUGGAAGUCUAGAAGACCCCAAACAUUUUCAGUGAUCCCACAAGACAGAGCAUGAUAAGCUUGCUUAGCAGCUUCUUGACGUUCUUCCAAAAGCUUUGCAUCACUAAGAAGGUUGCUGAGAGCUUCGACAAGAAUGUGUCCAGAAACCUGUCAGAGCAAAGAAGUCUGACAAGGACCUCAAAGAGGAAGAUAAAAAUCAUAUAUAAUGUAAACCACAAUAAAUAUUUCAAUAUGCUGACGCCUCUGUGAUAACAGUACUUUCAGCUCUUCAGACUUGUAAGUGCAUAAUUCUCUACAGAACUACGCUCUGAAAUUAGUCCCUUGCCGCUGCAGGUUCAUCAGUACCAAUUUAUAUAAACACUAUAAUUGAAUUAUCUUUCUAGUUAAGAUUGUACUCUUGAAAAUUAAAGGUACAUUAUCAAUUUACAUAUCUCACACACUUCAUACGGAUACUUCACUCUUACAGUACUACGCUAUCUAGAGCAUUCAGAAUUUCCGCAGAAGAUAACCUGGUUCUUGAAACUUUUGUCAGUCAAAGGCUAUUGACCUUUUCUUUAUGAAGUAAGAAAUUUCAUUUAAGGCACCUAGAAAAUGGAAAUUCGUACAAAAGACAGAUAGCUCCAGUACAAUGGAUGUGCAUUCUAGGAGAUUGACAGGGAGCUAACAAAUCCAAAAUUUGCAGUCAAAGACUAUUGACUAAAAGAUUGCUACUUAUAGGAGUCUUGACUAGCUUUAUUUUCUUAUUUCUUUUUCAUAUCAUUCAAUAAGAGCUAUUGAACAAGAUACUUCCAUCCCUACUAGUAGACGCACUUCUAUGACUAUGGGUACAUCGAAUAAGAAACUACAAGACACAUGCAUAACACUAUGACUAUGGGUACAUCGACAAACAAAGCACUCCUCCCUACUAGUAGACGCACUUCUACCCACUAACCCUCUACCCUAAUCCGAAACAAGACACCCACAGAUUAAUACUAUGAACUAUCUAUCCGAAAUCACAAAUAUCACCAAAACACCACAAAUAAGAACUACAAGACACGUGCAUAACACUAUGACUAUAGGUACAUCGACAAACAAAGCACUCCUAGUAAGGACGCACUCCUACCCACUAACCCUCUACCCUAAUCCGAAACAAGACACCCACAGAUUAAUACUAUGAACUAUCUAUCCGAAUAAGAACCUACAAGACACGUGCAUAACACUAUGACUAUAGGUACAUCGACAAACAAAGCACUCCUCCCUACUAGUAAGGACGCACUCCUACCCACUAACCUUCUACCCUAAUCCGCGUCCUCCACACCUUCCUAUCAAGGGUCAUGUCCUCUAGAAGCUGUAACUGCUCCAUGUCAUGCCUAAUCACAAAAGAAUAAACAAAAGAGUCAAAGUAAGUAUCCAGACCUGUAAUACUGACAAAGGAUUCAAGCGUUGCAUCUGUGUUGCCAUAUGAGAGAAAUGACCUAUAUAAGGACCUGAUAAUUUAAUCAACAGAAAAAACUGAUAUAAAUAUAUGUUAUGCACCAGAUAAGAAUCAAACUUGAAACUUUACUUCAAAUUAACCAGGCACUCAAACGAAACGAAGGAAAGAAGCCUUGAUCCCAAACUAGCUGCGGAUUGGAUCCAAGUUCUAUCUAAAAGACAGGAAAUGAAUUGACCAGUCAAAAUAGCACAGCCUGCUGCAGCAGCUUCUGAAAUAUUAUGACCAGCUGAACCUGGUAGAAAUGAACCUCCAAUCACAGCUAUUGGUGUUAGCCUGUAAAACUUUUGUAAUUCACCUAUAGAACAAAAUAAUAAGAAUAUCAAUAACUUUGUUAAUACAGCUCCACAACAGCAAGCAAAACAGAAGUAUUUCAUCCGUAAAAAUUAGUGUACCUAGUGUCUAGCUUAUGUAGGCAAAUAUCUGAAUUUACAUAUAAGGAAAUUGUUAUAUGGUGUGGAUAGGCUCAACAAAUAAGUUUUAGUUCUUAUGAAGGUAUAGAUUCUUUUGGGGUUAGAUUGUCGACUUACUUCUCAUAUGCAAACUAGAUAUUCUCUAUAGGUGAAAUACAAGGAAAAUUUGUGAGAUAACAAAAACUUCUAGCUAUCUAUACCUUGUUGAAGCAUGUGGGUCCACAUCAUGUAAAAGUUUAAUCUAGAAGAGAGAUGAGAUCAUUAAUUCAUAUGCACAGCACCCUAGUCAUACUAGACACUUUGACCCACAUCUAGAACAAAGCAUAUUAGCAACAAGAUCUAAACUCUUUCUGAUUUUCUCUUGUGUGCUUAGUUUGUUAGAAUUCACAAAAAUGUGCGAUGGAGAUCAUUCGACUAUUUCACCUGGAAAAUAAUUGCUCACUAACUUUUUUAAAGGGAAAUACAAUGGUAAAGCUUAAACAGAUCUAAACAGAAAAUCCAAGUCAGGUAGCUAGAGGAAUUUAUCAUAUAGCCAAAAGAGGUUAACCUAAUGUGUCAACCACAUAUAUGUUUGUCCCUGGCAUGAGCUUAUCAUGACGUGACCGUAAUGCUACCCUUACUCCAUCUUUCUCCAAUUCCUGCACAAGUUGAGGAAGACAACAUAAAUCCAGCCUUGACAAAAAAAGGGCGUAAUAUAAAAGUUCCAUGUUAUGAGAUAAAAGCCUCUUUGACAUCAAUCGGGAGGACUUUUUUUUUUUAUAACCGUGGUGUCUGGGCCAGCUUGCGCGCACCUCGACUAAUUCCACGGGAUACCUGCAACCUCCCAUCAACAACAGAUACCAGGUAACUCUGUCCACCAAGGCUAGAAUAGAUGAAAAGAAAUCACCUAGUGUUUGUCACUGUUGGGAAUUGAACCUGAGACCUCAUUGUGCUCAAUCCAACUCAUUGAACCACCAGGCCACACCCUUACCCUUGAGUGCAAUCCCGAGGACAUUUUUAAUGAAAAGAAAGAAGUGAAAUGGAGGUUCAUUAUGAAUGGAAACAAGUGGUUGUCGGUCCUGUCACCAGUAGAGUUUAAAUGAAUGUCCGGUCCUUAAUGGGUUUGAUUGCACUUUGAGGGGACCUAGUCUUUUUUCUGUGGAGAUACUUUUUUGAGUUUAAAUGUGGCUGGAAAUCGCCUGACCUUGAUGGAAUUUCUUCUACCAUCUCUAUGACAAACAAUUAUCCCUUCCUUUCUCAGUUCGAAUGAGACCACAGAAGAGUUUCAAUUUAAUUAUUGCCUAAAGAUGGAAAAAGUUAUACCCGUCUGACAAGCCUUUCCUUAGCCAUCCAUCUCAAAGAGUAUAAUAUCAGUGUUGAUAGCUUAAUUAGAACCUGUUGGGCAAGGGACUUCCCUAUUAGCAACUUGGGAUGGCUAAGAAGGGUUUCAUCGUCCCUAUCCAAGUCUUGGUUCAUCAUGAUCCCUCUAAAUCUUUUGGUUUAAAGUCAAAACGGAUGCUUUUCUCUGUUUAACUAACAGAAUAUGGCUUUUUUCAAGUAUUUUUAUGUUUGCUUGACAAAUUUCUUGCUCUGGAACUAUAAUGCAAUAUCAGGAACCCAUCCAACUCUUUCCUUCAUUACCCACUGGGUGGACAUGACAAUGAGGAUGAAUAUGAGCUUAAAGAACAGAUCCAGAUCAUUCAAGAGUUCAUUAGACAGUUUGAUAAAGCAUUUGAGCGUGAUCAUGGUUAUAUAACUUAGUGAUUCGGUCAAGUUAACGUUCAAAAGAGAGAAGUUAGGGCAAUUAGAGAUGGACAGAGAUAGAUUAUGAAUAAAGUAAUAAAUUCUAAUAGGCUGGAACACAAAUCAUACCAAAGCAAUUUGUUCUCCAUGCUGAGGAUGCCGAGGCACAAUGAUGGUAAUGAUAUCCGGAUGUAUUUCCUUUAGUGCGUUGUGCACUGCCAACAUAACUGCAUAUCGAUGUUGUCACAAAUCCAAUCAGAAUGCACAGCAACUUUAGUCAUAUGCAAAUUCAAAGUCAUCAGACUAUGAGUUACACUCUAUUCACUGUUUUCUGCACUAUCCCGAGAGCAGAAGGUUACUCACGUCAUAUGGAAAACCCCUCUUCACUUUACCUUUCGACUAAGACAGACACUGAUUACCAUAAAACACACAAUCAAUACAUGCAUCUUUUUAGGAAAAAAAAAGUAGAACAGAGCUCUUUUUUUAAUAAGUUAGAAGUGGAAAAAACAUGCUUAUGUUAAAUUGAGAAGUUACAAAGCGCAGACGGCCUUGAACUUUGUUAACUGAAGUGGAAUCCAAGGUCAAGCUGAACACUAAUUUCUUUUUUACUUGAACAGUGAUUGUAUGACAACAGACUUCGGAAGUUUUAUUGCUCAGUCCUAGACUCAUUCAACCAAAUAGAAGUCAUAAAUAGAGAGUUUUAAGAGUUCAGUACCCUCUUAGCCUCUCUUGAACAAUUUAGAGAAAAUUGUAAGGGGAUUAAAAAGAAACACAUACACAGAACACAGUUUGUUCUCACACAGGCCUGCAUGAGCCCAAGCUCAGACUACUACCAGGUAUAAUGUAACAGAAAAUAAGGGGCCUUUAUGAACCUCUUAUCUAACACCUUCACUUCGAGUUUGAGAUUCUUUUCAUUUCUUCAUCUCCAUGAAAAGUAACUCGAAAUUCUUUUCAUUACUUCACCUCCAUUAAAAGUAUUUAAUACAUGACAAGACACUAUAUUGCAAGAAAAUUACCUUUUUCUUCACCUUUAUGAAUAGAAGACGCCAUCCAGACCUUUCUGUUCAUAAGCUGUACCUGCAACUCUUCCAGCGCUCUUUGAUCCCCUUCAUUUGUGUCAAUGUUCCCAACAGCUAAAUGAAAAAAGACGAGGAAGUGAGAACAAGGGUAUAAUAAAUGCCUGCUCUCUGGUAAGCAGUGGUAGAUGAAACAAAUAUUUCUGAACCUGAAAAUAAAGAAGUCAUCUGUGUAUUUCUAAGGCACUAACAAGAAACAACUAAUCAUAGUAAACUAAUGGAAUAUAAAAAUGAAUUUAUUAUGAGUGUUAGUAGUUUUAUCAUAUCAUGUAAGCUAAUAAAGUCUUUGUUUUUGGCCAUACCAUACUUAAGGUCACCGCAAAAAUUUAUGAUGAAGGGUGGACACUGCAGCAGUUGAAAGCGAAUUGCCUGGGUAGUGCUCUUUAUAGAAAUAAAAAUCAGAAUUUAAAGGUAAAAGGACGUCUUUAAAAUCCAAACACUUCAAUGAUAAUAUAUGAGAUACGUACCAGUGGAAGAACCAGCAAGAAUUUAGAGAGCAUUAAUGAUGUCAGAGAAUUAAUAUACGGCUGAGACCAACUGUCAUAAGAUUUUACAGACAUUCGAGCAUUAAGCAAUGCAAGUGCAAUCUGAGUAACAAAACGGAUGAGUGUAAGCAGAGAAUCAAACAUACUACACUGACAUACAAGUGAAUACAAUGAGAAUUAAAAAGAAAAGGAACAAGAUAGAUGAUAAACCACAGAACAGGGUGUCUGGACGAUAACAAUGGUUAAACUAAAUAGUGUUCUCAUGAAAAAAUUAAAUGAAAUUGGCAUUAAAUCCUUGGCAGAAAAUAUAAGCCUUAAGACACAAAUAGUUACAAUAACAGGCAUCUCUCAGUUCAGAAGCAUACAGAAACGAUGUUUACCAACCCUAUUUUUUGCAGCACCUAUAAUCAGGUUUGGCCAGAGUUCACUUUCCAUUAACAUGAUUGCACUUGGCUUCCAAUAACGAAGGAAAGCAUCAACAGCACCAGGUGUGUCAACUGGAGAAAACUGGUAAAUUAGUAAAACAAAUACAUGUUAGAGAUGCUCCAUCUCUAUCUUCUAACUUUGGUAAGAAAACAACGUAUAAAAAUAAAUUGCUAGUCGUAAUUUUGGAUAAAAAAUUAAGUCAGUUUUAUACGUAGAAAUAGCCAGGUCAGAAGGAAAAAUAUUCAGAAGAAACAUUUGAGCACACAAAGAAAUGCGAGAACAUCAUAAGGACUCUGAAAAAUAACAGCGAGAGAUUCAUCCAGUGUGGUCAGAAGAAAGAGAGGGAGAAAACAAGCUAACAGCAUGGAAGAAGAGUCUAGGGUGUGAUCUUCUGUUUUUAGAUUUCACUACGCUUGAAAGGAAAGUUGGUGUUCUGUCGGAUAACUCAACUUAGUGACAUCUAUCAAGCAAAAUGUAACUUAUGCAUCAGUCUUAAGGAAAUAGAACAAGUACCUGAUAAAUGACAUUUUCUGGAAGCUGGUGCUUUAUUACCUCACUGUAAGAAAAAAAGAAUUAGGUAUUAAAUAUGAAUUGGCUUUUCCGCAGAGCAUGAAAAGAGAAGUGAAAAUAACGCCCACAUUAACCGGAAGUUGUUAAAUGAACAAAUUGGAAAAUACAUAUCAGUGAACAAGUUAAAGUAAAUAGCAUACUGAAAAGCACAAUAUUUUGUAUUUGCAUCAACUAAUUUAAGACACAUCUGUUGCUCAUCACAAAUAGGUCUAUUCACAUUGUUGUGAUCCAAUAAGUUAGAUAUGCACUACGAGGAAUCUCGAACAUAACUUGCCUUCCAAUACUAUUAAAAACGUAAACACAUUCUCAAAUAGGUCUUUCUUUUCUUCUGAAAAAUUGCAUGCUUGAAAGACUGGCCUUUUUCUUUGUUGCCCCAUGGCUUAGUUCAAAUGACAAAGGUUGAGGGAUUUGUGACUUAGGUCACAGAUUCAAGCCCCAUGCCAUGUGAACUACACUUGGUACCUAAGUUGAGAAGGGUGAACCCAUCAUCUCCGGGUUUCGACGACUACAGUUGGUCCUAAGGAUUGGCCCAAGACGGAUUUCUCGAACAUAAAAGAAAUAGAUUAUUUUUAAAAAUGCUAAGAACAGAUAACAACGAUAAAAGUAAAAAACUUUCUCUGCAGACAAUCAGGUUUGCAUUCCUAAAGCCAGUGAAAAGACAAGUAAUAACUCACAAAUCAAUACACUAAACUGGAUUGUUAAAAUCAAGGAUGUCUCGUGUCAUUAUUUUUACCAUAAUCACAUGAAUUACCUCUUUUCAGACAUUUCCCCAAAACCUUCCAUUUUUUGCAGAAGAAAACUAAACUGUAGCUGUUUAUAACAAAGGAUUAAAAUAAAAGUAUUAUAGACUUUGAAUUCGAACUGAAACUUACAAUGCUGAUGUGGUGGUUGUCGUCAUCAAGACAGUUACAUCAGGCCUCCUCUCUAUGCAGCAUUUGAUCACAGGAAUCGCACACAUUCCUUCACCUAAUUCCACAUAGUAACAAACAAAUUAAGAUAACAUUUUCAAAUUAGGAUGAAAAAGGAAAAUGAAACAGACAAAUAAUAUGAGUACUCUCUCUGUCCAAAUUUAUGUGCACGUUUUCUUUUUUUGUGCGUCCCCAAAAAGAAUGUCAUUUUUCUACAAUCAGAUAUAAUAUAACUCUAAAAUUCAUCUUUAACCCUUACUGAAAUGAUUUAUUGCCACAAAUGGCUAAUAGCUUGUUUGGCCAAACUUCUAAAAUUGACUUAUUCUUUAAAAAAAAAGUACUUUUGUACGAAACAGUUUGUGUGGCCAAUAGUUUUAAAAGCACCUCUGCGCAUCAAUUAGUGUUUGAUUAAACUUUUUAAACGUGUUUAUAAUGUAUUUUUCUCAAAAGUGUUUUUCAACAAAGUGUUUCUAGGGAGAAAAUACAUUUUUAGUUUCUGAAAAACAGCUUCCACUACUCUCCAUAAGCUCUUAUUUUCUUCCAAAAGCUUGGCCAAACACGUCACAUUUUUUUAUUUAUACUUAGCACUUUUAAACUAAGUAUUCUUUUCUAUUUUUAACUCUGUGCAAAGAUGAGAGAAUCACAUAAAUUGAGAGGAAGAGAGCAUAGAUCAACAACUUGAACAACAAUUACACAGUACACAAUCAUCUAAUUACAAGUAUAUAUACGAAUACACGCAUUCUGAUAUGCAUAUGAGUCUCUUUGCUUGUGCGCCUGUGCAUGGAAUAGAAAAUAGAGAGUAGUGUGUUUGGAUGGUUGUUACCCAUCAUAUUGUAUUGUAUUGUUACUAUCAUUAUCAUGUUUGUUUUGAUUGUUACUUAAAUCUUCGAUCGUUCCAUCACUAAAACGAUAUAAUCUAUCCAACCAUUGUAUUCAUUAAAACAACACAACGGAAAAGAGACAAAUAUACUCCUAAAUUGUGAUAAAUGAUAUGUAUACAUCCUUCAUCAUACUUUGGGUGCACAUAUGCCCUACCGUUAGUGUGAGGGACAUAUACGCACCAUUUCAUUAAGGAUAUGAACAUAUGCAGGGGCGGAGCUAGCUAAUAGUGAGGGGAUCCGAACCCCAUUCGAUGAAAAAUUAUACUAUUUAUACAAGUUUAAAAUUAUUUUUUAUGUAUAUAUAGCAGAUGUUGAACCCCUUCGACUAGUUAUUUUGUUCACAUUUUUCGAUUUUGAACCCUUAAUUACGAUGUUGGCUCCGCCACUAGGCAUAUGUGUAUACAAAGCAUGAUGAAAGGAAUUUACGUACCAUUUAUGGAUAUCUUUGUCCCUUUUCCAUUAGAACAAUAAAAGUACUAUACACUACAAUAAAUUAUCCAAACAGAUGUGUAAGUAUAUAGACAUGAUUAAAAAAAAAAGAGGGAGAAGGAGAGUGACCAAGUGAAACAGCGUGGAACCAGAAGAGAGGUCCAGGGGGCCGAGAGUGAGAAGGGACGCCCAAACGCUCGCGCCAGCGAAGAGCAUGUUCAAGGCCUCGGAGUUUGCGCCACCGCAGGUGAAGAUGAAUAAGCGGCGAUAGUCCAUAAGUUAACGCUCUGUAUAUUCUGUAUACAAAUUCACCUCUCUCCAUUCCCAUUUUUACUAUUCUUCUGACCUAGCUAGCUGUGUUAGACUAUUAACACUGCCCAUUUGUGAGGGAAGGGAAAACAAAGAAAACCAAAAAAGAAAAAAAUAAAUCAUUUGGAGCAGGAGUUAGAAUUUAAGUAGCCGUUUCUCAUCAAAAUUACUUUUUAUCGAGUUGAGUGGAGUUGGAGUUGGAGUUGGAGUUCAUCAUAUUUUUUUAAUUUUUAGACUUUUGAAAAAAAAAUUAAAUAUAAUUUUAUGUCCUCAACUUUGAAAAAUUAUCAUCAGCUACUAAUUUACCUACUAACAUAUAAUAAAAUGUUCAAAAAAUAAUUUAUAUGUCUUUAAUUGAUAAAAUAAUUAACAACAAACUAAUUAUUAUGAUUGUUACUCUUCUAAAAUUUGAAUAAAAAUAUCAUAAACAUGAACUAAAUAAUUUUAUCUAACCAUAAUCGAUUAAAUAAAAAAAAUAUAUUUUGAUAAAUAUGAUUGAUGGAUAUAAAUAUAUUUUAUAUAUUCUUAAAUUUGUUGAUGAAAAUUCUUAAUUAAUUUCAUUUAAAUUAAUUAUUUUAUUGAAUUUGGUCUUUUAAAAAACAUUUACGGAUGAAUUCUUUAUGAAUAGAUUAAUACUAAUUUUUUGUUUUUUCUUUAUUGAUGAUAUUGAUUUUCCUUGAAUAUUAUUGCAUCGUAAAUAUGAAUCGUUACGUUAUGUUUGAUGAGGGACUUUAUUGACCACUUUUUAAUAAUUUAUUAAAAUCAUAAUAGCCAUUAUAUGACAUAUACAGAAAAUUAUAAUGGCAAGAAAAAAUAUUAAAAAUUUCUCAUUUUCCGCCAUAAAUUGCCAUUUAUUAUAUUUUACUUCACGUUAGUAAAUUUUGGUUAAAAGAAAAAAAAAUAAUUAGAAUAUCUGUAACAAUUAAAAAUGAUGUUGUACCAUAGAAAACAAAUAAUAAUUUUUUUCUUGGUGGCUGGUUGUAGUUAUAAGAGAGGUUUGCGUAAAAAUUUAAAAAUAAGGGUUAUAUAUAAUAAUAAUGAAAGUUGGAAAUGGAAGUGAAAAAUUGUGAAAACAGCAAAAAUUUAUUUUCACUUUUUGGAAUCCAACUCUGGAAUAAUUUUUAAAAUUUUCAUGGCCAAACACCACAAUUUUCGGAAAAAUGAAAAAAUAAAUCAGAAAAAAGGAAAAAAAAUUUAUGGAGAAACAGGCCGUAAAUGUAAUUUAAAAAAAAACAAGUAUAAUUUAAAUAGGUUAUUUUAUGAAAAUAAAAAUUUAGUAUUUUUCUAAAAAAAUUAAAAUAUGAAAACAGGAUAUUGGCUGUUUUCCAAAAUCUAAUUACACUAUAUUUGAAAUUUCAUGGUCAAACAUUCAUUUUUAACUCAAGUGAAAAGAAAUUUUGGAAAAAAAGUAAAAAAAAAUCAUGGCUAAAUGGAAGAAAAAUUUUUUAUUUACAACAUUUUACUUGACAAGUUUAAAAUUAUAAAAUUUAAAUGAUUGUACACAUUUUUAAUUUAAGAUCAUAAAAUUCAAAAGUCUUUCUUUAAUUUUUUUAAACUUCAUACUCGGUGAAGAUGAGACCUUAUUUAUGUUCAUUAUAAUUAAUACAUCUGAAUUUGAAUAUUCAUCUGAAUGAUAAAGAUGUUUCUAAUCUGAGCAUUUAAUGAUCUAAAUUGUUUGUUUUUCAACAUCUGAAUUGUCAUAACUUAGUUAUUCAUGAUCAUAAUAAGAUAUUUAAUUUCAAAUAAAAAAAGUAUUAUAUAUUAAAAACAUAAAUAAAUAUAUUAAAAGAAAAGAAAAUGAAAUGUUUAUGUCCAUUGGUGAUGGUGAAAAUUGUUGGUCUUACGUUCCUGGCUAAUAAGAUGGUGAUGGUAGUUGUGAUAGUGGACACAUUUAGUGCUAGGGAAAAGUUAUCAUUUACACCUUAAACUAUAUUCGAAAAGUCGCAAACGCAUUCAAACUAUUAAGUAAAUUUAUUUUCACCCCAAAUGCUGAUGUGGCAACAAAAUUUAAAAAAAAAAUAAAAAAUAGCACGUGUAGGAGUAAAAUUUGAAGAAAAAAGGAUUAGAAAACAUUUUAUCCUUCAUAGACAUCCCUAAGCCACUUCUUCAUUCCUUCUUCUUGACAUUUUUAUCUUCUCUUCUCCUUAUUUUUUUUCAAAAUCACUUUAUUUCUUUUACUAAUUAAUCGAUUACAUAUUUUUCACCAUUCUCCGCCUUGAGCUUGAACAAAAAUUUUAAUGGUGAUAAUAUUUAGUGAUGGAUGGUAAAAUUGAUUAUUUUUGAUAAUUUACAAUACAAUUUGUGCAAUUUUUGUGGUGGAUGAUGAGCUUUGUGGUUGAAAUUGUGCUUAAAUCCGAUGAUGGCAACGAAGGUAGAUCUGAUGGAGGAUGAUUUUGAUCAUGGGGUGAGUUUCUUAAUACUGCAAUUAAAUACUAAUUGAAGAAUUUGCAAUGCUAGAAAGUUUCACAUUAACGCUUUGAACAAAAGAAAGAGAGAAGAUGAAGAAUGAGUCUAUUUUUUGGCGAACUCCAAUGGUGAAUUUUAGUAAAUAUAUAGUGAUUCUUUAUAAUUUUGUUACGGCGACUAUGUUUAUGGAAUGAUUUCGGCAGUGAAUUUAGUUUUUGGUAGUGAAUCUAUGGUGGUGGAGAUAUGAAUCUGAAGAUGACGACAGCGACGAUCGCGAUGAUUUGAUGGAGAUUCAAUUAGGUGACAUGAAUUUUUUUAUAAAUAAAAUCUGACGAAAAUCUAAUUUGGCAGUGAUGUGGCGCGAGUGUGAAUCGCUUUCCAUCAUGUGAUUGGUUGUAGGUGUGUAAGGGUGGACAUAAAUUCACUUUUAUAUAGUUGAGGUGUGUAAGAGGACGUCAUAAUAAUUUGAGUGUGUCUUCGACUUUUUAAAUAUAGUUUAAGGUGUAAAUGAUGACUUUUUUCUUUGGUGCUAUAAUAACUGACAUGAUAGUGAUGAUUGAUAGGUGAAGUUGGUUGUUGUUGAUAGCUAGAAAUGUUAAUGGUUGUGAUUAAAGAAUGUGUGGUGGUAGUUGAUGGUGGAUAAAGUUGGAGGUAAUGCUAGUUGUGAUGGCAAAAAUAGUUGGUGAUAACUAAAAGUUGACCAUAAUGAUAAUAGUUGUUGAUAUGGUGGCGUAGAUGGUGGGGCGGUAACAAAGAUGAUGAUGACAAUGGAUAUAAUUACAAUUUUUGAGGUCAUAGACAUGAUACAGUAAUAGAUGACAACGAUGGGUGUGAUGCUAAGAUGGUGGUAGCUAGUUGAUGGCAGUUAUUAUGAUAGUUGACAAUGAUAGCGGCAAUUGGGUGAUUGGUGGUGAUAAUAACUGGCUAUGAUGAUGAUAGUUGAUAAUGGAAUGACGUUUGUGGUGACAGAGGUAAUUAUUGUUGGUGGUUAAUGAUUGUAGACAGGAUAGUACCUGAUUGUGGAUGGAAUAGUACAAAAAAUUAUUCGAAUAAAAAUACAUCUUAAUAUUAUUAAGAUCUAUUCAAAUUUUAGCUAGAUUGAAAGUUAUUGUGUUGAACUAUUUAGCAAACUAUAAUUUGUCAAAGAAGAGUGAAGAGCGCCAAGGCAACCUCAAGUCAUCCUCCAUGAUAAGAGAAGGUUCGAUUCUAACAUGCUGAAUAAUUUAAGAAAAAUUACUGAAAACAACGCCUUUAGUUUUAAUAUUACUUAAAGUCUCACUCCACUAAACUAAUUACAAAAAAAAAAUUCUAAGUAAUUGAAGACCCUUAUUUUCAGAUACAUUACUACCCACUCCUUUACACAAUUCAAUAUUUGUAAAUUUUCGUCCAAAAUCACGGUAGCAAUGCCGCAAUUGACGCCAAUUACCUAGUUUGAAUCACAAACAUGUUCUCCUCUACUCCAUCAACAUUGAAGUUUCAACUUCCACAUACAAUCUCCAUUAACUUUCCUCUUUAAAUUUAUUUUGGAGGAUAGUUUGUUUUAAUUAUGUUUUUACGUUUAUUAGUUCAGAAAUUGAAGCUAAUUUAUUUAAGAUUUUCUAUUCUUUAACCACUUAACUUUACUAGUUUAGUGUACGUGCAUUGCACGUGUAUGUUACGUUAAUAAUAUUAAAUUGAAUACUAUAACAACUUAAAAAUCCUUAAUAUUGUUGUAAGUCUACACAUUUUUUUGAUUUUUAAUAAUGCUUUUCACCACAAUUUUUUUUAUACCCAGCCUACAUGAUUUUAACUAGAUGGAACAAUAUUAAUGAAUGACCCCAAAUACAUAUUUAAUUAAAUUUAAAAUUAUUAUAAUUCCAUUUUUAAUCGAAAUAGAUCAUAUUUGUUUAAAUGCGUAAAUUUGAAAAAUUAUAUUUAAGUAAAUGAUUUUAAAAAAAUACACUUUUAUCAAAAUUCUUCAGAAAAUAUUGUCAAAUAACAUAAAUUUUAAAAAUUGAGCACAUUGCUUUUUUAGAAAUAUGAGAAUAGAAAGAUUAGUCUUUCAACUUCUAUCAAAGUAAUAGCACUUUGAAUGAAUAAUUUGUUAAUUCAAAUAAUAGAGGAAGAAAUCUGAAACAAACUAAAAUAGUUAGUGCAAUCCUAUGCCGAGAAUAUUACGGUGUCACACAAUAAGCUUACUUUUAGACAUCUAAUAAGAACAAAAGAAAAAAAAAGAAGCAAAUACUAUUCUCCAGUAAUUCAUGUUGUCAUUCUUGAGAGUUAAAAUAAACAAAAUUUUAAAUUUUCUUAUAUGGCAAAUAGUUUGCAGCGUGUUGUUCGGAUCUAUAAACUAAACAAAUAGUUGGUCCUUUUUGUCAAUCAACUUAGAUGAAGAAAUCUGCAAGUAAAGGUAAAGUAGUCGUCAAUUAUUGAAAAUAAAGACUAUUUUUAUAGGUGAAGGAGAAAACAAUGAAACUAACUUUAUCGAGGAUACCUCUACGCCUAAAGACUCUUUAAUUUUUAAAAUAUAUUUCUCAAUCAUUAAUUUUCCCAAUAUCGCCUGUCAUAUAUUUUUUUCUUACCAUAAUUUUAGAUGUCUUAAUUUGUAAAAUAUAUUUUUCUGUUAUCAUGUAUUUUAGUCUCAAAGUUGGCAAGUAAAAAGAACACCUCAAAUAAACUUGACGUAGACCGGUGAAUCUAAAGUUUAGUGAAAUAUAUCUUAUCCUAGAAAAAACUUUAUGCAUGAUCACAUAAACAGAAGGGAAGCCAAUACCUUCCUCCAAAAAUGUUCGACAUGUCAAAUAAAGAGGACAGUUACAUAUAGAAAAGUGCAUAUUCCCACUGUUUGUCCCAACAAUCAUCUGCAUGUAGUCACCAAUUACCAACUGCUUUUCGGGGUAUAGUGGAUGCGAUUUACCACCUAUGGUAUCUAUAUUUUUGAUCUAUAUUGUUCGGACUCUUCAAAAAUGUUAUCGAAUAUUUGUCAAAUCCUUCAAAAGUGUUGAUCUUUUAAGGGGCCAAAAUGAGUGCAACAACUUUUCUGCACAACUUAGCUUUCGAUAAGUCACACAAUGGGAUGAAGCUCAACAAAUAUGAUAAAAGUAUUCAUAAUUUCAUGAACCGAUGCAUGCACAAGUUCGCAGAAUUGAAGGAUGGCCAAAACAAUUAGAAAAUUAUAUGAGUGUUACAUAAUUAAGCAACAGGUAAAUAAAUACUAUUAAGUUAUAGAACCAAAAAUCAAAAGACAAACUCAACUUAAAUUCGAAAUAUCUAAACUUGUGAUGAGAAUUGUUGAUGCAGUACUGGUUGAGACUUGAAAUGAGACAGAGAGAAUACAGGAAAAAGUGUAUCUGCUUUAACAAUUCCAUCAUAAUAAGAAUUCUAAACAUCAUAUUGUAUAAUAGUCAUACUCAUAUAACACCAAAUACUUAGGUAAAUGAUACGUAAGAUAAGUAUCCUAUGAUAUAUAUCCUAUUAAUUAUGUAUAAUCUGCUUGCGUGUUUCUACCAAUUGUAUUUGUGCUUAUAGGCAUAUGAUGUAUGUCACCUGAUGGAGUAGUGAUUUAUAGGUGCGUGGGAGAUAUAUAUGACCCGUCUUCUUAUUGGGCAACUCUAUUGCCUUUUUAACUAUGCCUUCUUCAGCGAAUAGUACUUAAUGGAGAAGCUUGUUUUAAUUAUCGUUAAUUGAUAUAACUCUUCUAUUAUUGUGCUUUUCUAACCCUUCAUAUUGGGAAGGUUAAUGUGGGAAAAGUAAGAACCAUCAAAAUUAACUCUAAUUUCACGUCAUAACAAAAUAACGGAGAAACCUUCACCAUUGUAACUUUAUGCGUUAAUAAAUUCAGAAAAUAAUAUAGUAAAAAAACAAGAAAAAAGAAAACUUUAACUAAAUUUAUUCUUGGCAAUUACAAUUACCAAUUAUGUCUUUUUUGAUGUUUGCAUUAGUGUCUCCAAUCCUUCAUCUCUAUAUAAUGUGCAAACGAUAUUAAAGAGAGUAUCAUGUAACAAGGGGCUUUGGGCUGUUCGUGACAAACGAGUUUUAAAAUGAGGUGUAUGUGACACAAGUCUUAAUUAUUGAGUGGGGGUGACAAUUACUUUAUCAUGGAUUAAGAAAAUUGGAGAAGUUUGAAAACAACCCACAAGAUUUUAAAUUUACACUUUGAUUUAAAUGUUUACCUAUAUAAUGAAAAAUGGAGAGAAAAAAAGGUGUUUUUCUCUCUCCUCUUACCCCUUGUUGUUUUCUCUUUCUUAGAAAUUUUUGUUGUUGCUUUAUUCAUCAUCUUCUACUUCAUUAUCAUCUUCAAUUCAUCUUCUUCUUGUUGACCAUUUGUUAUUGUUGUUGUUGUUACCGCUACUGUUGCUAUUUGACCAAUUACUUAGGUCAAAUUUUGUUUCGAACAUCACUUUCUACUUUGGCAUUACUUCAUAUGAAAUCUUGGUAAGUCAAAUUAUGAUUUUUAGUUGAAUUUGUCAUCUGGGUAACUGCUAUUGUGUUGUUGUUUUUCCAAUAAUGGAUAGAACCCGAUCCCGAAUCCAACAUAAGAUUCAUCUGUUUGAACAGAUAAAUCAUCUGUUGCGACAGAUGAGAUAUCUGUUUCAAUAGAAGACUGAUAUGUUGGAUUCAUGUUUAAACAAAUGGGUAUCUGUUACAACAUUUGACAUAUCUAUUGCAACAGAUUAGUUAUUUGGUGCGACAUGAUAAAUAUCUGUUUCAACAGAUUAGUAACCUAUUGCAACAGAACCUGAGCACGAUUCCAACAGAAGUGUUGUCUAUUGCAACAGGGUAAAUAUCUAUUACAACAAAUUACUAAUCUGUUGCAACAGGUAAGUCAUCUGUUGCAACAGGUUAAUUAUCUGUUGCAACAUGUCACUCAUCUGUUAGAAUCAUCUUCAAAGGUAAUUUGGUACUGUAACAUCAAUCCUAACAGGUGCUUCAUCUGUUGCAACAGAUAUUCAGAAGUGUAACAUGAAUCCCAACAGGUAAGUAAUCUGUUGCGACUGAUCACUUACCUAUUGUAACAGAUUACACAUCUAUUGGGAUUCUGUGAAAUCACUAUCAACUUUUUUUAACAAAUAACUUUAUUUAGGUACCACUAAUGGAGGGAUCAAUAAAAAUAGGGGUGGAUUGUUAUAGUCAAUGGAUCGAGAAGAGCAAUUAAUAUAUAUGGCGUUGGAAGGAGGGUAAAAUGCUAAAGACGAUAGCUAUGACAGUCCAAAGUGAUGUUUCGUAUGAUGAUUUUGUAAACUUAAUCAUCAACUUUUGUGAACUGAAUUAUCAAUCGGAAGAACUCGCCAUUAGCUACAUGCACAACUUCUUUGAAAAUCAGAGGGUACUGUCUUUCAAGAUAACCGAUUAGGUUCGGUUGCGUGCUUAUCUAAGUGAUUCAACCUGGCCGGUGUUAAGGGUGUACACGGUUGAAAAGACAAGAGAGAAUGAGAACUAAAACGUAGAAGUAGAAGAAUAAGAAGACUUCUGUGAUGAUAGGUUGGAUGAUUUAGACAUGAAUAUUCCAGAUGAUGAUCAAAUACCUACGCCCGUUGAUGCAGCCAAUAGAUGUCCAGUUCUUCUCAAUCGACAUAGUCUGGAAAUCUUCAAGACGAUGGGACCGACUUUUUUAUUAGAAUGUCAUUCAAGGAGAAGAAUGAACUAUCUAACACUUUAUUUAUUUCUUGCUUGAAAAAAGAUUUCAGAAUAAAGAAGGUGAUUAAUUCGAGCAGUGUCUUUUGCUUCAAAUUUUCUAAUUCGAACUGUAAGUGGUGGUUGAGAGCGGUGAAGUAAGCAAGUUCUGACAGAUUCGUCAUUUAUAAACAUGAAAAGAAUCACACAUGUGGUUUGGAGCACAUCUCGGGCCAAAAUCCUCACGCCACGGCAAAGGUCCUCGGUGAAUAUUUCAGGAGUAGUUUCCCCGAUGGCAAAGGCCCUUCAACAAGGGUUAUGGCCAAUCAACUCCUUACAGAUUUGCGUGUGCUGUUCAGUUAUUGGAAGAUAUAUACAGCCAUGGGGAUUGCCAAGGACUUGGUUAGGGGGACACUCGAGCAUGGGUAUGCAGUCCUAGAUGCUUACCGUUACAUGAUUGAGUCCACAAAUCCCGAAAGUAAGACGACAUUGCAUCUGGAUGAAAAUGAAAGGUUCAAGUACUUUUUUGUAUCCUAUGGUGCUUGGAUUCAAGGUUUUCGAUAUUUCAGAAAAGGUAUAUCCAUCAACGGUACCUUCUUGAGGAGCAGGUAUAAUGGAGUACUGCUAGCGGUGGUGGCGCAGGAUGCGGAGAAUCACAUCUUUCCUGUCACUUUUUGUGUAACGGUUAAGGAAUGUGAUGCCUCUUAUGAAUUUUUUUUUGAACAACUGCGAAGCUGCAUCGAAGAUACCGAAGAGUUGUGUUUUGUAUCGGAUAGGCAUCUAAGUAUUCCAAAGAUGGGUUCACUUUUCUUCACUUCAAAUUACUUUGGUUGUUGCAUCAGGCAUCUUGUAGAGAACAAUCGAAACAACUAUCACAACGAAAGGGUCGUCACCCUUUUUUAUAGAGCAGCUAAAGCAUAUAUUAGAGAGGAGUUUUUAGACCAUUUCAAUCAAAUAGCGAAUGUAAAUCCCAAGAUAGCAGAAUUUCUUGCACGUGUUUAUUUCGAGAGAUAGAGCCGAGCAUUCUGUCCAGCAGAUAGGUACAUUCUUAUGAAUUUAAUGUCUUGUUUGAUUUACAAGUUUAGUAUGAUUUCGUACUAAGUGAUUCUUUUCAAUAGGUACAAUAUUAUGACAUCAAACAUAGCUGAAUCGGUGAAUUCAUUGUUUGGCUAUGAAAGAGAAUUUUCAAUCAAGGCUGUGUUUGAAAAAAAUAAGCAAGAACUAUAGCAAAUUUUUUAACGAAAGACGUGUGUAGUUCAAGUGCCCAGAAAAAAGAACCCAAUUUGUUCUCAAAAUAGAAAAAAAAUAUCAACGAACACCAGUUUGGGGAAUAGGUUAUUCUCUCAUAAAAUAGCAUAUUACAAAUUCAGUAUCACCGGUCAUGGUGAUGCUGCCACGGUCGAUCUUCAAACAAGAUCUUGCAUGUGUAGAGUUUAUGACUUGGACAAAAUACCUUGUCCACAUGCUAUGGCAACGCUUCGAGCUCAAUACGGUCAUAAAUAUGGAUCUGAAGUUUACGAGCACUCCUCUCAAUAUUAUUCGGUGGAAAAAUAUAAAAUGACAUAUGUGGGCAUAUUACUCUGGUGCCUCUUGAAGAAUCUUGGGUUGUUCCUGCAGAGCUUAAUAGGAGAUUAAUACCUACUCCAUACAUUGACCCAAGUACUAUCAAACCGGGAGGAAAGCCAUAUAAGAGGAGGCGUGGAGUUGGAGAAUCAUUUUCAUCAAGAAGAAACAAGUGUUCCAUAUGAAAGUGUGCUAGCCACAAAAGAACUACAUGCCUGAAUCGUAAUCCACCAUGAUCAUUGUAAUUACAGAAACUUUUGUUGUUGUGGACUUUUAUAUAUUUAACUCAUUGUUGUGAAACUAAUGUUAUCAUUUAUUAUAUAUAAAAUAUCUUUUUUAAUAACUUGUUCAUCAAUAAAAAGAGGCAAAACAUGAACUAAAUAAUACAGCAAAUCACAAUUAUUCUCAACAGUUCCACAAACUGGAAUGUUUUUCUCUAACAGAUGACAAAUCUGUCGAAACAAAUGGAUAAUCAGUUGACAGAAACCCAAAAGAUAACCAAUCUGUUCCAACACACGGUCUAUCUGUUGAAAGAACUCAAAAGCCAAAAUUGCUAGUGCUACUGAAUUCAACAUUGCUCCUUGCCUCCAACCGUCUAUAUGUUAACAUGUAUGUAUGUUUAGAAUAGAAGAAAUAAACAAAAUAAAAAUUGAAUAAGAAUUAAAAUUCCAAAGUCGACUAAAAGAAAAAUUUUCAUUAAACGAAAAAUAAAAUACUUUAGGUAUAGAUCCGAUUUAGAAAAACUAAAAUACAUCCGCUAAAAGAAAAAACACAUUCUAAUUAUUGUUAUCAUCAUCAUCAUUAUUAAUAAUAGUCGGCCAAUCAAAUCGCAGCAGCAGGGCCCUCAUCAGCCUCUGCAUCUCUCUGAACAUCGUCGCUCUUACAGUGACCAACUCCCUCUGCAGGUCAUUAACCUGCCUCUGAAGUUUUUGCACUAUGUCGCGUAGAAUAGCAAUGUCCGGAACAGGAUCGACCAUAUCUAGAAUACGCAUGAAUUGAGAAAUAUAAAGAAAAAAGUCCAAAAUAUAAUACAACGUAUACGACCAACUGAUAAAUUUACACCAGAAAAAAACUUACCUCAACGAGAAAGGAAUAUGCUCUUUGAAGAGAAGUGGUUGAAGAUGUCACACGAAAAGAAAAAAUGCAAGAAAUAAAUAAAGUUGAGUAGAAUAAAGAUUAAGGAGGGACCUAUUUAUCGAGGAUUGAAUCUGGACGUGUCAGGCUAAAAGGCACAACUGUUCAACUCCAUUGUAUUAAUUAUAUUUCAAACUUGGUGUCAAUUUAUUUUCUAUGAAAAGUCACGACUUUUUCUUUUACAUUAAUACUUCUUACCUUUUCAAAAUGGUUUAAGACUCGAUAAUAGCCGUUAUUAUUGAGUUGUUGCAACAGAUCAUCAUCUGUCGCAACAGAUUUAGCAUCUGUUGCAACAGAUGGAUUAAAUGUGCAACAUAUGGUCUAUCAAAACGGAUUUACCAUUUGUUGCAACAGAUGGUUUAUAUAUGCAACGGAUGAGACAGCUGAUACAACAUAUGUAUUAUCUGUUGCAACAGAUGGACCAUAUGUUAGAAGAGAUAUUUUGAUUUCUUCUAACAGCUAAUUCAUCAGUUUCAAUAAAUAGAGUAUUCGGUUCAUUAGCUGUUUUGAAUGUGUUACAUAGAAAGUCACGACUCUUCACCUCUUUUUAAUAGUCCCUCCGUUUCGUAUUAGUUAGGCCCUAUGGGCUUGGCACACCAAUUAAGAAAAAUACAAAUUAGGUGAUUAUUUUACCAAAUUAGCCUUAUUAAUUAUGCUUUGAAAGUAUAAAUGUGAAUUAUAUACUUUAUGUAGUCAUUUAAGAAUAGGGGUAAUCUUGGAAGAAUAUAAUAAAAUUCUCUUGAUUUUAUAAAUACGACAACUAAAUUGAAACAAACAAUUUUAGCAAGAAGUAAUCACAUGUGUGCAGAUGAAUAAACACAGUCUGAUCUGUCGUAACAGAUUUAUCAUCUAUUACAACAUAUGGAUUAUCUGUUAUGACAGAUGGACCAUAUGUUGGAGAAGAUAUUUUGAUUUCUUCCAACAGUUGAUUCGUCAGUUGCAACAGAUGGAGAUUUUGACUCAUCAGCUAUUUUGAAUGUGUUAAGAUAAAAAGUCACGACUCUUCACACCUUUUUUUUAAUAGUCUUCACAUGCGUGCAGAUGAAUAAACAACACCGUCUGACAUGUUUCGAUGGGGUAGAAAGAAUAAGGUGCGUGCAAUGGAUCCCAUUUUCACGCGUGUGAGUUAUGUAUAUUAUUGAUCAGGCUACCGUGACAGACACACAUAAAGUGCAAUGAUUUUGUGAAUGCAAUUUUUACCAAUUAGACAUUGAUCCUUCAAACAAGAUCCUACAUUGUACAAUUUAGUUUGAUAGGUGCAAACUGAUAUGGUCGGAGGGUUCCAAUACGGUGAUGUCGAUACCCCAUUAUAAUUUAAUGACAAUUUAUGCUCAUGUUUUUGUAUCAAGUUUGGGGAAGGGUUCAAGUUUUUGGCGGCAGUGUAAAUAUCCAAUAGUGAUUGGACCGGUUUUAAUGGCGCAAUAGACUUCUUGAAAGGCCUCCGAAGCCUCGCAAUAUAGAAAACAAUGAUGGAACUAAUAGAAAUUCCCCUAGUCCAAAUUUAAAUGGAUAAGUUAUUGGAGGAGACUAUUAUAAAGUAAAAGGUGUUUGGGAGAAAACUUGUGCGGGAUGAGGGAGGUUGAGAAGGCCAUAUAUCAUCUCAUUCCUUAUUUAAGAGGAAACACAGAGUAGGAAGGAUAGUGUAGUGAAAUUGUCCAAUGAAAUUGACAUGAAAAACAAAAAAAUUGGAUGAGCUUCAAAUGUGAAAGUGUAUCCAAAUAUAAAAAUUCGUCAGUCGAUGAGAAAAAGUAAGAAUGGUCAACAGGACUGGAGCUGGACACUUUGCUCGAGAAUGCAACUAGCGAGCGCGACCUCAAUGAAGACUCUCACAAAGUACAGGACCAGAACUCUAAGAAAGAAGCUUCGCGGUCACGGAAGAUGGUAAGAUUGUCGGUCAGAAUUGAAACUUGAACCAACAACUCCUGAAUUUAAAAUACGGGAAGCUAAGGCAUCAGUUUCUGAAGUCUAACUUGCAUGUCAUGUCUUCUGUUUGUGGCUAUGAUCAGGUCAAUGGCAGUAGAAAUAAAAAGGUCCAAAGUUGGGCCAAAAUCUCAUGCCUUGUUGUUUUCACUGCCUUUGACCUGACCAAAGCCAUAAACAGGAGGCAUGGGAUACAAGUUUAACUUGAGAAAUUUCCACCUUGGCUUGAUACCGUAUUUUUAAUGCAGGAGUAGUUGGUUCAGGUUUCAAUUCAGACCGACAAUCUUACCACCUUCCGUGCUCGCGAAGCUGCUUUCUUAGAGUUUUGGUCCUGCAUUUUAUGGGUAUUCGUUGAGACCGCGCUCACUAGUUACAGUCUUUAGCAAAGUGACCAGCUCAAUUCCUCUUAACCAUUCUUCUUUUUCUUCAACGACUGAUGGGUUUUCAUUUUUGGAUACAUUUUUACAUUCGCAGCUUAUCCAGUUUUUUUAUUUUUCAUGCCAAUUUCGCUACGCUUUCCUUCCCACCCUGUGUUUCCUCUUAAAUAAGGACUGAGAUGAUAUAUAGCCUUCUCAACCUCUCUCGUCCCACACAGGUUUUCUCCCAAACACCUUUUGCUAUAUAAUAGUCUCAUCCAAUAGCCCAUCCAUUUAAAUUUAGACUAAGGGAAUUUCUAUUAGUUCCAUCGUUGUUUGUUGCAACGCGAGGCUUUGGAGACCUUUCAACAAGUCCAUUGAGCCAUUAAAAUCAUUCCAAUCACUAUUGGAUAUCUACACUGCUGCCAAAAACUUGAACCCUUCCCCAAACUUGACACAAAAACAUGAGCAUAAACCGUCAUUAAAUUCUAACGAGGUAUCGACACCACCGUCUUGGUCCCUCAGCCUUACCAGUUUGAACCUAACAAUCUUAACUGUAAAAUAACAUAUCUUGUUUGAAGGAUUAACGCCUAAUAGGUAAAGAAAUGGUUCCAUCUGCAAUACAUAAUUCGUAAUAAAUACCUCCCAUAUAUGAAGUGGUUCCAUCUGCAAGCAGCUUAUUCCUAUGAAACCAUCUUUACUCUAGCUUUUAAUGUUGGUCGGGCAAAAGUGGAUCCAGUUUCACUUCCUUUUUAUCUGCAAACAAGAGAAAUACAUUUGAUGUCAAAUAAGAGAAGAACAAAAAGAAUAUUACAAAAGAAUAACACAAAAUUGAGUGAAUCAAUAUAUGACUAAUCUGAUGCAACAGAUUACCCAUCUGUUCAACCAAUGAGGUAUCUGUUGCAACAGAUGGAUGACAUAUUGGAAUGGAUGGUUCAUCUGUCGGAAUAAAUCAAAUCGGUUUUGCUACUGGUUUGAUUUCUUCAAACAGUUGCUCUAUCUGUACAAAAGGGUAACAUAAAAAUGAGUGAAUCAACAAAUGACCAAUAUGAUACAACAGAUUACCCAUCUGUUCAACCAAUGAGGCAUCAUUGUAACAUAUGGAUGGCAUGUUGCAACAGAUGGGUCAUUUGUUGGAAUAAAUCAAACCAGCCUUGCUACUAGUUUGAUUUCUUCAAACAGUUGCUCCGUCUGUUCCAACAGCUAAUUCAUCAGUUGCAACAGUUGAGAAAACUGUUGCAACACCACCACCACCAACAACAACAACAAAAAAAAACACCAUAUGUUCCAACACCAUCCACAACACAAACAUCACAUGUUCCAACACGACCACCACCCCCCAAUAACAACACUACUAAAGUACCAAAUAAAAGACAUAAAAAAAACUAUACUGACAACAAGACUUUUUAAGUUCUUCCAACAGAUGACUUUUUUUGCAUAUUUUAAUAAAAAUAAUGGUUUGUUCAUUCAAAACUUAAAAUUCACCUUUCCCUCAUUUUUCUCAAUAAAUAGAAAACUGGUAAUGGGUAAAUCAUUAAUAGCAACAGAUGUAAAUAUCUAAUUUAAAUGACAUACAAAGAAGAAGACGAGAUGAAAAGAACAUUAGUAAACCAUACCUACAAUGUUAAAAAGACAAGGGAUCAGAACAUCCAUUUCAGUCGAUAAAAGAUAUUGAUUGGUUGAGAUCCGAAAUGAUCCUCAUCCAAAAGAAGAGAGAAAAGAGAGGAAAAAAGGAAACAAAGAGAAUUGAGAAUAAAGAAGAGUGAUAGAUGAGUUGAGUCUUAUCUUACUUUAUGGCUGAAGGAGAGAGUAACUAGAUAUGGGUUUUAAAUAUUCAUUAAUAACUUUUGAGGGGCACGACGAUACGGUGACAUUGAAAAGACCAGAUAAGACUACUCACUCAGGAGAUUUUUGAGUUAUCCAAGUAGUACCGAGUAAUAUUUUUUACCACCUUAGUAUUUUAACUAUUUUAUCUCGGACAGAAAAUACCUAAAUUGCUUUAAAAAGGAUCUUAAAACAUUUAAGUACAACAGAUGACAAUUUCUGUUUGAAAAUUUCCAAAGCUCGGUCAUCUGUCGCAACAAAUGACGUAAUCUGUUUGAUAGCUUACAACAGAUGCUAAUAUGUUGCAAUAGAUUUCCUAAUCUAUUUGAUUUAAUCCAACAAAAAAGACAUCUGUUGCAACAGGUUGAAUUGGUGUGUCGGUAUUCAUGGUGUUUGUAAUGUAAUUUUUAAAAUUUAUGCAUACAUCAAUUGUAAUGUAAUUUUUGUUUUUCUGUUGUUUGUAGGUAAAACAUGUCUCCCAAAAGAAAAGAAAGUGAAAGUGGAUCAACGUUUGACCACUUAAAAAAAGGCUACAGUACAGAGAGAUUCGGAGGAGCUUUUUGAACAAUUUCAGUGAGGAAAAAGUAAAGCUGAGGAGAGAUAUAAAAACAACGUUGAGGGAGGUGGACAAGGGUUUAUAGAUGGUGAUGAAGAAAAUAAAAGUGAAAAAAAAAGAAUUAGAGAGUGAGAAAGAGAAAGAGGAUGAUCAUCAACAUGAUGAUAAUGGAUCACCAAUAGUGCGUGAAUUAAUAUCGACAUCCUAGCAUAAUCCUGUCAAAACUUUUAGUAUUAAUAGGUUUUAAGUUGCGAUGCCGAUAAAUGACCCAAAAGCAAAACUAACUGGUCAAAUUGUACUUAGAUGUUAGAUGGAGAAAAUUUUUGAACAUUUAGGAAAAUUAUGAAGAACGAAAACAUAGACGGAAUUUAUCCCCUUCGAAAGCAGGUAACUAUAUUACCCGGAUGAGGUUUCUUAUCCAAGGAUGUUUAGGUGGUUAGCUGCAAAGAGCAACACCAAUAUUAAGGAGAGUGAUCUUUUUAACCCUCCGGAUGAUGCAGUACGUCUUCUUCAAGUAAAAUAAUUUUACUCAAUGAAAGAUAAUGAACAGAUGUUAUAACUGGUACAACAAAUGUUAUAUUUGAUGCACCAUAUGGGAUAUUUGUUGCGAUAAGUUACCUGUCCUGUGCUAAUCGGUACAAUAGAUGGAUUAUUUGUUGCGACAGACGAUUGAUAUCUUGCAUCACAUUAACCAUUUGUUGCUUUGGUUCUCUGAACCUGACUCCUAACAGAUUAACCAUCUACUGCAAAUUAUGCAAUAGAUGUGUAAUCUGAUGUAGCAUAUUAUUAAUCUGUUGCAUAACAGAUUAUCCGUCUUGUGCAACUGUUGCAACAGAUUGGUAAUAUGUUGUGACAGAUGAUUGAUAUUUUGCAUCAGAUUAUCCCUGUGUUGCUCUAUUUCUCUGAACCCGACUCAAACAGAUUUUAACCAUAUACUGCAAAUUAUGCAAUAGAUGGAUCUUUUUUUUUAAAUGUAACCCAACUGUGAAAAUUAUUAUUUUAUAUGAUUUAAAUGUAUCUAUCUUUUUUUUUCUUUUUUAUAGGUUGUGCAUCCAUAGAUCAUGCCUACUGAGGAGGAGUCGGUGAUGACUUCUUAUAUUACUCCAGGUCAUGUUAAUACUAUAGCAGACCCAACGGUGGAGUUAAUAAAGAAGGAAUUGGCUGGAGCAACAACUAUAAGAAGAACAGUUAGGCAAGGUCAGCCUAAUGUAGAGGCUCUUCAUGACCAAGCCUAAUGUUGAGUCUCUUCAUGUCCAACCUACUAAGGCAGAUCCGGAUGUUUCUUCUGGUGGAGUUAUUGGUGGCAGGCAUAAUGAUGCUACUACCACUCGUGAUGAUGAGCAUGUUGAAAAUAUGUUUGAAAACACCCUUUUUCACCCUUACAUAGGUCCCUCUCACCCCUCUUCACUCUCGUAUUCUCGUUGCGAAUGUGAAGAGUGCAAGCACAUCCAGGAUAAACUCUUUGAAAAAAUAAAGGCUAUCUCUAAAGAUGUCGAGGAAUUCAAAUCCAAGAGGUGUGUCAUACCAUCCAAGAAGGUGAGGGAUCCACAUACUCCUACAGUAUUGGUUAGGAGAAAGAAAAGAGCAAUUAGAGACAUACUCUUCGGUCAAAAAUAAAAAAAAAUUGUAAUUCGUCCCUCUCCAAAAGUUAUUGAAGUUCAGGGGCCAGUAAAGAAGGUAGACAUAUACGCGGAACUUGAUACCGAAAAGAAGAGGGAUCUGCGAUAGGCCAAGAAUACCAAGCCAGGCGCACUAGAUUACCCCAAGCCUCCCUUUCCCCCCAAGACUUCCAGACUAUGACUGAUAUGCGUAUGCCGUACGAGGACAAGGCAAGUUUACUUUUCCUAACCUAGCCUUCUAAUCUACCCCAUGAAGAAGAAGCUAUGGAACAAAUGUGAAAUCUGUUGCAACAGCUGGGUAUACUGGUGUAACUGGUAGUGGUUCUGUUGCAACUUAUUAUCCAUCUGUUGCAUAAGUUGCAUUGGAUUAUUGAUUCAGAGAACCCUAUGCAAUAGAUGGACCAUCUUUAAAAUUACUAACCUAUUUAAAAAUUGUUUUCUUAUAUCACAGUAUGUUGACAAAAUUCUCUACCUCAUGAGGGAAAUGCAAUUAACAUAUCCGAAAGCUUAUGAAGCUGCCGAUAGGAUAAUGGACCUCGACUUCAGCAAGAAGCUCAACGAUAAGUACGAUCAAGUCAAUAGGGAGGCGUCAGCCCUUGGCGUGGGACUUGAUUUCAUAGUUUCUACGUUGGAAUUGGAUGAAGAAGAAAUGAUAAAAUAUGUUAGAGGGGAGAGGCCAAAUCUACACGGCAAGAGCUAGACCGAGACAAAGAGGAUUCUUGCAGUUAUUAGCGUGAACGGCCAUUAUCGGGCUGUUGAGAUACUACUCAAGGAGGGAAAGAUCAAUGUUUAUGACUGGAAUGAACCUCUCGUCGACGAUCUCAAUAUUUUUCUCCUCGUAGAGCCCCUGAUGGAGCUGUUGCCCAUCUUGUUGAAGGAGAGCAAACUGAUGAAUCAUUUGUCAAAGGCAGUGUUGAUGAAGAGCAAUGGGAUUUUGAAGGUCGAAACAAGGACAGAAGCCUUCCAAAAAAUGAGACUGAUAAUGCGUGUGGCUCGCACGCUCUUGCACACAUCGAAUGUUUGCUGACCGGCACAGAAAUGGUUGAGCCAACGACCUUUCUGUGCGACAGCGCUGUAGAUAACCUACAAAAGGUCUGGGCUUAUGGGGUACUAACUGGACGCUUGAAGCCUGUAUAUAUAGAAGGGCCUGUGAAAUAACAAUUUUUAAUUUCAAGUCACCCUUCACUUUAUUACAUGUGCAUGUAGUGGCAAUCAUUUUUUUCUGAUUAAAGUUGAGUUUUUUAUAAUGCAAUAUAUUGUUAAUCUGUUGUAAAAUAUAUUGAAUCUGUUCUGGCAGAUAGUUUAUCUGUUGCAAUAGGUUGGUCAUCUAUUGCAUUAUGUCGAUGUUAUUUCUAUGUAAUCUAAGUCUAAUCUGUUACAACAGUGAGAAGACCUGUUUGAUAAUUUCCAACAGAUGACCUAAAUUUUACAACAUAUGUCUAAAUCUUUUUUAUAUUUUUCAGCAGUUACGCUUGAAUAUCCAUGCAUUCGACAACACCAAACCAGUAGCAAAUACACACACCGCCAUGAAAAAUUCAGCAAUUAGGUUUGAAUAUCCAUGUGUCCAAUAACACCAAACCAAUAGCAAUAACGGCAACAAUGUAGUAUCUUCUUCCUCGAUUUUGUUUCUCUUUAGAAGCCUUGACUUUGUUCAACAAACCCCAGAUUACACGAUUUGCUUGUGAAGGGUGUCGUUCUUCAUAUCAAUCAAAGUAAUCUCAUCCACCCAAUUUCUAUAUAAACUUGAUAAUUUCCAACAGAUGACCUAAAUUUUACAACAUAUGUCUAAAUCUUUUUUAUAUUUUUCAGCAGUUACGCUUGAAUAUCCAUGCAUUCGACAACACCAAACCAGUAGCAAAUACACACACCGCCAUGAAAAAUUCAGCAAUUAGGUUUGAAUAUCCAUGUGUCCAAUAACACCAAACCAAUAGCAAUAACGGCAACAAUGUAGUAUCUUCUUCCUCGAUUUUGUUUCUCUUUAGAAGCCUUGACUUUGUUCAACAAACCCCAGAUUACACGAUUUGCUUGUGAAGGGUGUCGUUCUUCAUAUCAAUCAAAGUAAUCUCAUCCACCCAAUUUCUAUAUAAACAAGAACACAAUUACAAAAUAAUUACAAGUCAAUAAUUAAUCAACUAAUUAAAUAAAAAGAAUAUUACCUUUGAAAUUUUAUAAGUAAAAAACCUACAACCUGAAUUUUAUUGAGUCCAAGAAGUCUUUAACAGAGAUUCAUGACCACUCUUACAAUAUCAAAAAUCUUUAUCACAAAAAACAGUGGAAGAUGCGCUCGACAUUGUCAAGCUCAGUUGAAAAAAAUGAAAAAAAAUAAAGAAAAGAAAGACCAAAUAUAAAUAAUUUGAAUAAUUUAGAUAGAUAAAAGAAGAUGACGAUGAAGAAGAAGAUUUGGGAAUUUAUGAUUAAAAUUAACAUUAUCUACUUGAUGCCUAUUUUAUUUUAGGUGUUUGAAAUGAACACCGUCGAUGGGUUUUGCCUUUUUUAUUUCAAUUCACUUUAACUUUUUUACACAUAGUGGCAAUUUUUUACGUCCAACGAAAGUUAAAUUUUUAUAAUGCAACAGAUUCUCUAUCCUUUGUAAUAGUUAUUCUACCUGUUCUGACAUAUAAUUUAUCUGUUGCAAUAGGUUAGUCAUCUGUUGCAUUAUAUCGAUGUUUCUAUCUAAGUCCAUCUAUUGCAACAGUGGGAUGACUUGUUUGAUAAAUUCCAGCAGAUUACCUACCUGUUGCAAUAUAUGUCUAAAUUUGUUCGAUUUUUUCCAAUAGAUGUGUCGUCUAUUGCAAUAGAUAUAUUAUCUGUUGCAAUAUUUGAAUCUAGUAGUCCUUUUCAAUUAAUAAGUUCAAAACUAAGGAAAAAUAAAAUUCAUAGACAAAAUAAAAUAAAUCGAAGCCUUUAGAAAUUAGCUGAAAUAAGUCAACAAAUAAAUAAAAUAUAAAAAAAAUUGUUAUGGGUACAGAUCUCAACAAAUACAUCAACAACAAUUUAAGUAUGAUGCCAAGGAUUACUUUGACAGGCUUAAGUUAUAAAGAUCUACUCAAUAUGGACAAGUUGUUCUUCAUUCGAUGUUAUAAAAUUUGGCGUUGUUCAUCGUGGAUCUUUAUUGCCGCUUAUGUACUAUUUUUGCGCUUUCUGUUCUACGUAUUUCUAUAAAAAGAGUAUCAUAUUGUCAGUGUUGUUCAGCAGUAGCUUCUACAUCCACCUGGAAAGCCAGAAUUGGUCAAUGCUAAUCACGGAGAUACAAUAAAAUGGAAAAUGAUAAUUCAUCUAUUCUAGCAAAUCAAACAGGUUCUCCUCUUGUUUUAAAUUGUCCCAAACAGAUUAUAUUUCUGUUAUAACAAUGAAUCAACUAUUGGGACAAAUUUCUACAUGAGGAAAACCUAUAUAAUAAUUUCCAAUGGAUGAACCAUCCGUUGCAACAUAUGAAUCAUCUGUUGCAGCAGAUAGGUCGUCUGUUGGUAUAAAUAAAAAUGGUAUGAAGAGCUAUUUGAUUUGCUAAAAUAGAUGAGACGUAAGUCGCAAUAGAUACUUUAUCUGGUGUAACAAGUUAGUCAACUGUUGCAAUAAAUGUAUAUAUCUGUCUGAUAAUUUUUAGCAGAUGUGUCAUUUGUUAAAAUAGAUAUGUGUUUGUUUGUUUGUUAGUUGGAAGACAUAUAUAUUCAUCUUUUUCAGCUCGUGUUGCUCUCCUUUGGACAUUGUACAUUGCUCAGUGCAACACACAGACAAAAGAGUUGCAAUUUCGCUUUUUUGAAUGCUUGAUAAUGCCUUGGAAAUCACUUUCCUUCUUUUCUUAGCCCUAAUCUCUAAUGGAUCGGAUGGAAAUAAAAUUCUCUUUAAUGGAAUGAGACCCCUCUUAGAUGUCAAUUCCUUUACAGAAGCAGUUAAUGCAUUAAUAACAUCAAUCACUACAUCAUGUUUUGCCCUGCAAUCUUGACAUUUGCAUACAGAACAUUCGCUGGGAGAGGCAAAAUCUGUAUAACCAGUAUGAUCAUAAUCAUAAUAGUUUGCUUUAAAUACUGUAAGAAGAGCAUCAUUAGCACCAAUAGCAUCACCAUUACCACCACCAACAGCUCCAUCACCACUAAGACCAUCAACAACAACAAGCCCACCCUCUAAAAUUAUUUUUCUUGUAAUGGUUGUUGCUUCAAACAAUUCCAUUUUUAUUCUGUCUAGGACAUUAGGGUCCGAUAAAGUUUGCACAAACCGUAAAGUAAGAAAAAAUGGCAUCUUUAACUCUCGAUUGGUCGGAACUAGCGACGGAUGCACAAUCUAACAUAAAUCAUUACAUAUAUUAGAAUGAUGAUUAGAUCAUUCAAAAAAAUAUUAAUUAAAAGAAAAAAUUAAUUAUAAUUAUACUUACUGCAUCCUUCGGGGGGUUGAAAAGAUCAAGAAAUUUUGUAUUUUUAUCAGUUUUGGCCGACAACCAUCUCAAGAUUCUUUGACAGGAAACUCCUUCCUGGUAGUUCACUUGUUGUCUCAAAUAAGGAAUGACUUCAAACGCCCAAGCCUAUAAAAUAAUGCCAAUAAAUCAAAGUCAUUAUUGAGUAAAAAAAAUGAAUGAUAUCAUAAUAAAAGAAAGAAACAUUUACCAUGAAAGCCCAUGGGAAGCCAUAUAAGUUGACUAUUUUUGGCGCUAACGGAGUCAAUAAAUAUUUGACAGUCAUUUUGAAGCUUUCAUAACCCCAAGGAUAGCUGUUAAACACCUCAAGAUCCUCGGAGAGCUUUAUUAAAUCGAGGCUUAUGUUGUUGUUAACGUCUCUCGGCCAAAGAAUAUUAUGUACAAAUCAAACCAAGCAUAAUGACUGUUUGUGCUUCUUUGAAAGUCCUUUACCUUUCAAUGCUUCUAUCAAAUUUUUAUUUUUGAAGCUUGGACCAACAAUGGACACCAGGUCAUCACGAUCAGACGACUUGCUUUUGCCCUUUUUAGGUGUGCGGGGUGCUUUUUUAGGUUAGAAUAGGUAUAACUUAAGAGGGAGGAUAAUAUUUUAGUCCAGUAACUAUGGCAAAAUCCUUCCAACCCAAACAAACAAGCAUGCCACAGUAAUUUAUCCAUACCUAAUCCAUCUUAUCUUUGUUUUCAUAUAUAAAUCUACGCUUGAGAAGUUCAUAUACCAUUUUCAUUUGGAAACGAGCAUUGUUGUCCUCCAGCAAAUCAAGAUAUUUCCCAAAGCAGUUGUUCCUGUCCUCCAGCAAAUCAAGAUAUUUUCCAAAGCAGCUGUUCCUAGAAUAAGCAUCCAAUUUUUGCUCUCGAAGUAUUUUUUGAAGGCGGCGAAAGAUUUUCCCAUGACUGACUUAACCACAAAAUCACCUAUUAAAUCUGUGGCACCAUCGUACUGCAUUCUCACAGGAUAACGAUCAAUGCUGAAGGCUUUGACCAACUCUUCAGUGAAAGGGCUAUUAGUAUUUGCAUCAUCUCUUUUGAAACAUUCCUCCUCCCCAUGUUCAUUAUAUUCUGCUCCCGAUUGAGAUAACGCUUGUAAAGCAAGCUCAUAGAGUGGUAGAUGUAGCCUAGCUGCUUUACUUGUUUCUUUACUUGGACUUGAUUCGGUUUCUGUUCUUUUGGGAACCAUAUUAUCUAAAAUUAACAGGAACAUAAAAAAAUAUAUUAUAGUUGAUUAAUUCAUCGUUAAAAGGGAUAACAAUAAAUCAAACAAGCAAAAUAGUAUAAUAACAGUUGCAACAGAUCACCGAUCUGUUGCAACCAGGUAGUAUAUCUAUUGCAGCAUAUAACCAACUUAUUGCAGUGGAUGAGUAAUUUAUUACAACAAUACAAAAUAUAUCACUCGUCUUUUAAGACAAAUGAAUAGUUUGUGCAAUAGAUCACACAUUGUUGCGACAUAUGAGUGAUCUGUUGGAACAGUUAAAUAAUCUGUUGCAACGAAUGAGUAAUCUGUUGCAGUAAUACAAAAUAAAUCACUCAUUUAUUGAGAAAAAUGAAUGGUCUGUGUAGUAGAUCACACAUCCGUUGCAACAUCAUCUAUUGCAACAUAUGAGUGAUCUACUGGAAUAGUUAAAUAACCUGUAGCAACAGUUGAGUAAUCUGUUGAGACAAUACAAAACAUAUCACUCAUCUGUUGAGAAAGAUGAAUGGUCUGUGCAACAGAUCACAUAUCUGUUACAACAUAUGAGUGAUUUGUUGGAACAGUUAAAUAACCCAUAGCAACGACUGAGUAAUCUGUUGCGAUAAUAUAAAACAUAUCACCCAUUUGUAUGAAUGGUCUGUGCAACAGAUCACACAUCUGUUACAACAUAUGAGUGAUCUGCCAGAAUAGUUAACUAACCUACAACAACGGCUGAGUAAUCUGUUACAACAAUACAAAAUAUAUCACUCAUCCAUUGAGAAAGAUAAAUGGUUUGUGUGACAGGUCACACAUUUAUUGUAACACAUGAGUGACUGUUGGAACAGUUAUCAACGGUCAAUAUUGUUUAGAUUUCUUCCAACAUUGGGUCAUCUAUCGCGGUAGAUGAAUGAUCAGUUGAAAAAAUCAUGUCUUGAACAUGUCUUGUUGGAAGAGUUGAUAGGAUUUUAUCCAACAAGAGCUUCAUCUGUUGCAUCAAAUCAUUAAUCAGAUGAUUCUUUUGUUGCAUCAGAUGGUUAAUCAGUUGCAUCAGAUUUUUUAUUUGAUGCUUAAUAUGUUGCAACAUAUGGUUAAUCUGUUGCAUCACAAUUAUAAUAUGAUGUUUCCUCUGGUGCAUCAGAUGGUUUAUCUGUUGCAUUAUAUGAAAAAUCUAUUGCAUCAGAUGGUUAAUAUGUUGCACCAGAUGGAUAAUCUGUUGGAGAAAAUAAAAAAUAGUAGCACGAUUUUGUUCAACAAAAAAAUAGCAAUAUCACCAUUUUCACCAAGAACAAGAACAGAACAAAUUUACCCAAAUUGUUGUUUUAUUUUUAUAAACACAAAUAAUAAAAAUCAAACUUCAAAAAAAUGCAACAAACAACAAAAAAACAUAAUUCACUUCGAAAAGAGAAGAGAAGAAAUACCAUAAAUUAGGGUUUUAUUCAGACCGCAUUUAAAAUUAAUGCAACAAAUAUUAAAAUUGUUAACCAAUACUAUAAUAAAAGUUGGCUCAAGUUCCUCAUUUUUUUUAAAACUAAAAAGGCCAUAAAUUUUUAUCUGUGGAAGAAGAAAAGAAAUAAUGAAGAAUUUAAAACUGUUGUGGCCGGAGAGCAAGGUUGUCAUGUCGUUUAAAGGUUGAAGUCGAAAAGGAACUUGAAGCCCAACUAUUUGUAGUCGGAUAUUGAAGUCGUCGAGGAUUGAAAUGAGAAAUUUCCAGAACAGUUGGUUGGGAGAAAGUUUAGAGAAGUUGUCGAGAGAGGGAUGAGAGACAAGUUGAUUUGAAUUGAAGAGCGGAACUCGAAGCCCAACUAUUUGUCGCCAGAGGUGGAAGUCGUCGGGGGUUGAAGGGAGAAAUUUUGCAGAACUGUCGGUUGAGUGAGAGUUGAGAGUGGUUGAUUUGGAUUGAAGAAGGGUGUGGGUUGGGUUGAUUUGUAUUUUUGAAAAGAUUAAAAAGUUUUGAAAAUAUUAAUCAAGUCCACAAUUAACUUAAUCAAGUUUUCUAAUGAUGUUUGACCCUUUAAGUUGGUCAAUGUCACCAAUCUUUCCUUCAAGACUUAAAAACAACUUUCCUUCAAUUUUCUCAUAUAACAACUUAUUAUACUAAACAUCAAAAACAUAUUUUAUCCAACCCAUCAAAAAUAUACUAAGAUUUUAAGAAAACAGACCUCAACACUACUAAAAAAAAGAGGAAAACCAACCACAAAAAUUGACCACAAGUGAUUUGUUUUCCUCAAAUUUCAACCACAAAACGACCAAAGUGUGUGGUCAGUAAAAUAGUGGUAGCUUUUUAAAAUCCGACCACGUGUGGUCGGUCUUUUUAAUAUAUAUAAUUCAUUAUUAUUUUAUUAAAAUAGAAAAAAAAUGAGUUGUAAAAAAAUCAAAAUAAAUCGACCACAAGUGGUUGGUUUUAUUUUAAAAUUAAUUAAUUGUGGUCGAUUUUAUUUUAACAUUAAUUAAUUAAUUUUAUUAAAACGAUCACGAGUGAUCGAUUUUAUUUACAACAACAACAUACCCAAUGUAUUCCCACCUAGUGGGGUCGAUUUUAUUUAAAUUAAUUAAUUAAUUAAUUUAUAAAAAAAAUGACCACAUAUGAUUGUUCUUUUAUUUGAAUUAAUUAAUUAAUUAAUUUAUAAGAAAACCGACCACGUGUGGUCUGUUUUUUAUAAAUUGAUUAUUUAAUUUAAAUAAAAAAUCGACCACUUGUGGUCGGUUUUUAAUUUAAUAAUGUAUUUAAUGAUUUAUUUAAUAAAAUAUUUUGUAACUAAUUAUAGUAAACCGACCACAUGUGGUCAGUUUUUCUGAUAAUUUUGUAAAAAAAAUAUUGAAAAUUUUCAAAAUACAAACAUUUAAAAUCAAAUUAUUUACAAAAUUAAAAAUCAAAUUAUUUGCAAUAUAGCCCAACAAUCAUUUACAAAGAUUAAAAAUCAAAUCAAAUUAUUUACAAUACAGCCCACCAAUCAUUUCAUAUACAAUCAAACAACCACCAUAAGAAUACAAACAUUAAAAAUUAAAUUAUUUACAAAAUUUAUCGAGGUUUACAAAAGACUAAAAACUACAACUCAUCAUCCGCAUCUUCAUUCUCAGCUUCACCCAUUCUAUUAUCAAUAUUUCGUUGAUAUAUCCAGCUAUAAUCAGGUUCCAUCUACACAAGCAAUCACAUUCAAGUAAUUAGUUCAAAUCACAAAAGUCCUCAUUUCAAAUAUCUAUAGCUAAACAUUUUCAAGUCACUAAUUCACUUCAGAAGUUAUCAAACUAAACUUAAUUCAAAAUGAAAAGUUCACAUUACAAACAUCUACACUUAAACAUUUUGAAGUCACUAAUUCACUUCUCAAGUGACCACACUUUACUAAAAUCAAAACACAAG